This 60803-nucleotide long non-coding RNA is filed under the name Solanum tuberosum (potato). Its description in RNAcentral is "long non-coding RNA (STUB_LNC001190)". The record is from RNAcentral. Lineage: Eukaryota; Viridiplantae; Streptophyta; Magnoliopsida; Solanales; Solanaceae.
UUUGAAGUACACACAAAACUCAAAAACAAGAAAAUUAUCCAUCUAGCUGGAUAUGAUUAUGCAUAAUGAACAGAGGAAACAGCUUAAGAGAAAAACUGGUCCAUUAGAUCCCCUCUUUCAAUCGCAAUCUUCUAUUUCUGCACAGCAAAGAAACACUUCUCAAAUAUAUUUUACGAAAGAUUUAACAGGUAAAAGUGUACAAGCUCAAAAGAUGAUGCAAUUAAUCUUGAGUCAGUUACCUGUUAAACCAGUGUUGCCGUUUUUUAUAUGCAAGGGGUAAAUAAGGACCUUGGGCUCUGCAUUUCCAUAUCCUUCUUGCACUUCUUUAAAGUCCUUGACUGACUUUUCAAGAGACUCACCACAUCGUUUCACUUCAACUAUCUUUAGAGUACGAAUAUCUCCAACUGGAAUUUCUUGAAGAUUAAAGCAGUUUUCUACCAGAAGCUGUUCGAGGUUAAGCAAGGACUCAUCUGAGGCAUUCCAUGUUGUUAUUGUAAGGGAUCUUAAUUUAAGAACCUUGAGGUUCAGAAACUCUUCAUCUUUGAUCUCCCAUUUUUCCUGCUGAAAUGCUCUAUGUUCCAACUUGAGAACCACUAAAUUUGGUAAUCUUCCGAUAUUAGACAGUUCACUUUGUGGCAACAAAACAUCUGAUAGAGUUAGCUUUGUUAGUGUCGCGGGAAAGGUGAAAUUCAAAAUCUUACCGUUUACACUGAGUGUUUCAAGUUGAAGAGCAUGUAAUUUGAGUUUGAGAGGCUCUUUACAGUGGCAUUUGAGCUUUCGCAGUCUGCUUGCCUUCUUGACCAUGUAGUCUACUAGCUCAUUAGUGAGAGACACUGUGGCCAAGGUCUCUAUGUUUGUCGAUGUCUGAGGAAUGCGUCCAUCAAAAGAUGCAACAGGUUCAACAUGUACAUGCUUUAGCCUUGGCAUAUUCCAGAUGGUCAUCGGUAAAAUUGUGCCACUGCCUACUGUUAUUACAAGCAAUACCUCUAGGUUUGAAAGGUUCGAUAUCCAUAAUGGCAUAGAUACCAUAUAGCCUUUGAUUCCUAAGUACUUCAAAUGGAUCAGCUCUUUUGAUCUCUGGAAUGAACUCUCCGACAUAGUACAUUCCAUUUGUAGUACUCUUAAUAGUUUAAAGUUCUCAAGAUCAAGAAAUUCCUGGCAGCCAGAUUUCGGGGGUCUGAAGAAUGCAGAUCGAACUUGCAUGUUUCCAAUCUUCCCUGCCCAAUAAAGGCUAUGAUGAAUGCAAAGCCUCCGGUGCUCAUAAAAGGAACUAGACAAAUCAGUCUUCCCGGUGCUUGUUAGUUGCAUAAACUUCUCUUCCUUAGACUUUGUCAUGCAAAAAUCAUGUAACAUAUCAUGAAUGUGGCAUGUUCUGACUCCUCCAGUGGACUUUCUCUUGCUCACCAUUAUCAAGCUUCUACCGAUGAGAUCAUUCAGUAAAAUUUUUGCAUCGAGCCCUAUGUUUGGCACCAAUCCCUCGAUAGUCCAUAACCAUGCCAAGUUUGAGAGUGGAAUUUCUUCAUCCUCCUGAAAUGAUGCAAAAUAUAGAAGGCAGGGUUUGAGAUGAUCUGGCAUGUGCUUGUAGCUCAGUUCUAUAACCUCCAUGCACUCUUUUGCACUAGUAACAGUAUCUAACUUUAUACUCUCUGCGACUCUUCUCCAACUUCCCUCAUUUUUGCUUAUCCCAGACAAAACUCCAGCAACCAAAAUCACAAGGAGAGGUAGUCCUUUACACUUACUUGCGAUGUUUUCUCCUACUUUUGAUAGGUCUGGUGGGCAAGUUUGUUCCUUGAACAGCUUGAUUUUCAUUAGUUCCCAACUUUCAUUUUUGUCAAGAAAACGAAGUUCAAGAAGUACUCUUUCAAAUUUAAUGUUGGAAGCCACAUUAAUGUUUCGGCUGGUUAAUAAAAUCCUGCUUCCGUUUUUAUUAUCCGGUAAGCAUCUGCUCAAGUAUUCCCAUGUGUCAACACUCCAUAUGUCAUCAAUGUAGAGAAGGUACUUCUUUCUUAACAGAAAUUUCCGCAAAGCAUCUGCUGGAUUUUUCUCAUUCUGUUGGUUAGAACAUUUGACUUGAUUUAAAAUUCCGAGCAGCAACUUUCUUUUGUCGUAAGUUUGGGAAACACGACACAUAGCUUGGAUGUCAAAAUAAAGCCGCAUUUUCUCAUCAUGAAAAACUUUCUUUGCUAGUGUAGUCUUUCCAAGACCAGGCAUCCCUACAAUAGACACAACAACUAGGCACUUUGGUCCUGUAGUGAGCUGUUCGAUUAGCAAGUCAGCCUCGUUCUUAAAACCCACCAUUACCUCAUCAGGUAGUGUAGUCUCAACUACUUGUCUGACAGGAUUUGGUGCUUGUUCUUCGAUUGGGACUUCAACUUCUUGCGUAAUCGUAGCAUGGAACUCUUUCAAAUGAUCCCUUACAACCUUAGUUUCUGUUGUGAUCUUACAUAACAAAUGUAGAUACCAAACAGGAUAAUCUCCGGUAACCAGGCAAUCAAUUAUGCAUUCUGCCUGGUAUGCUAGAGAUAUGACUUCUGUCCAUAGAUCAUGUUUCUUCACCUCCUCAAACUCAUGUUUUUUCUUCUCAACUUCCUUCAAGAAGUAUCUUAAGAGAUAUAACUCUUCCUGAGCUUCUUCAAUAAGAUGCUUGACAACAGAAUCACACUUUCCGUCUUGCAGCAGCUCUUUCAGAUAGCGUAAGAGAUAAUCGAUAAACCCCAAUCCAUUUGUCCUAGGAAAAUUACAUUUUGAUGACACUACAUCUUUCAGAAUCACAUCUUUUAGAUCUUCCAUGACAUGUUCAAUCUUUUUUAACAAGUCACUGAAUACCGAGUUAACUUCUGCUGCUUUGUCAACGGAGAAAGAGAAAGCAGCAGAUACUACCUCAGCAAUCGAAAGAGAAAGCAACAGAUACUACCUCAGCAAUCAGACCUUCAAUGCAAGUAAGUUUGUCACUCAUUUUUUCCUGUAUAACAUAUAAAUCUUCUGGUGGACAAAUGAGCAAAGUUACCAAUUGCUUUGAUGCUUCGGCAAGGCUUUUGAUUUGAUCCUUUUUAAGAGGAAGCAUCAAAGAACAUGCCUCACCGUCUGAUAACUCCAACAAAUCCUUGAAGAUGAAAUGAACAAAACCUUCAACAAAUUCUAUCACAUCCCGGCUGUAUUGGAUUUGCAAUUUAACUGAACCUCUUAGAGCUCCAGUAUAGAUUUCUGCAACGUCCGGAUCAAUGGGCUUGAUAUAUUUCAAAACAUGAGAGAUUUGAAGUGUCAACACAGAUGCUGAAUCUCCAUCCAUUUCUUCCACAUAACAAAGGUAACAUAUGUAUGCAGCAUUCACUGUGAUGCCCUCUAUAUGAUUAAAAAGAAUGUUGGAUUUCUCUAGCUCCAUGCUUGCAUCUUUUAUGAAAUUGAGGAAGGUUUUUAGAUAUUUUAGACUUUCUUCAAGGACUUGAAACUCUUUCUUCAGAAGUACAAACUUGUCGAAAUCUUUCUUGUUGAUGAGAAGAUCCUUCACAUUCUGAAGGAUGUGCUCAAUGAAUUUCUGAAACACUGGGCUGCAUAAAUUUGGUAAAGGCCACCUCCCUGGAACCAAUGAAAGGAGAAACUUAUAACCUUCUUUGACUUCAGCAGAAGAUAAGUCUGCCCUUGGUCCCGAGACAGUGUCACCGACUUGCAUUCCAUGUUCGCGCAAUCUCCCCUCCUUAAUCCUUCCUUUUUGAGUUGCCCAAAACAAAAAAGUACCAAGAAAUCUCCUCUCUAUUUCAGACAUUUGUUUUCCAGCAGAAUUUCCUCAGAGUGGAUAUAUGUCGACAGCUCUGCAAGCAAAGAGAUUAAAAGCAAAUCACAUUCUAGGACAAACAAUGCAUACUCCAUAAUCUAGUUGCUCUUCAUAUUGCGUGAAAUUAACACAGAAUUCCUUUAUAUGUUGAUUGCACUCUUCCUCUUGUAUCAGAACAUUAUGCUUGAUUGUAACUAACAAACAGAUAAUAUUUAAGAAAAAGAUGUGUGUGAUCACAAAUAACAAAAACUGUUUGGUUGCACUAAAUGUUUUCUGGAAAAUGUGAAGUUAUAUCUGAAAGUCACAAUGCAUACUCUUAACUCUACACAACUAGGGGAAUGGGGAAAAAAGUCACCAGGAAAAACAAUAACAGAAAAAGAACUGGUUCCAAAGAGUUCUGAUUGUCUACUACUUACUUUUGCCUAAACUAGUUACCCUUUGUUAAUCCAAGCAAGUGAAAUUGUACAAUAACUGAUACUAGGGUCAACCUUCAAUAUUUCUUAGAGAAUUGUCACGAUUUGUUUUUUGAUGCUCAGGACAAAAUAGUGACUUUAUAUAUCAAUGCUACUUAUGUGAUUUUGAUUGUCAGGAAGUUUGCUUCAAAAUAGUUAUUACUAUAUAAAUAUUUUCCUUUUGUUUUUCUUAUUUACUAUUUCUUAAUAUUUCAGUAUUUUAGACGAAGAAAGGUUCAUAUGACUUGUAAUAACGCUAGUUGAAGUUUGUAUUAGUUUAAUACUUAUUAUUUAUUUAAUAGCUAAUUUUUAUGCUAUAAAUAUUUUUAUUAAUGCAAAUAUCUCUCUCUCUCUCUCUCUCUCUAUAUAUAUAUAUAUAUAUAUAUAUAUAUAUUUGUAUUUAAAUUAAGGUAUUAUAUAUGUCACGACUCACAAAUGUAUUAUCAAGUUAACAAAAUCUUCUAACUUCAAUAUAUAUUAUUUUAAAAUGUUCCGAGUUCUUUUUUUUAAAAAAAAAAACUCACAACAAAUGUGAAAAUAUGUGAACAUAUAUGAAUCAUUUAAAAUUUAUCAUUAACAAAAUAAACUUUAUAAUCUGUAAUAUAGAAUAAACAUUUUCAUUUUGUCCCUACACUAAAUUAAAAUCUAAUCUAUCUAUCUAUAAAAGGAGAAGAAAAAGUGCCACGUGUCAGCACCACAAAAAAACUAUAAUUAUUAUUAUUUAAAAAAUUAAUUAAAAAACUGAUGGUAAAAAAACAAUAAUUACCAUUAAAAAAAUUUAAAAACUUAUUUUUAAAAAAUAUUUAAAACGGUCAAUUAGUAGUUAGUUGUAGAAAUGGGGUAGUUUUUUUUCCAUUCACUUUUAAAAUUUAUCUAUAUAUAUCUAAAAAACAAAACAUUUUAAAAAAACAUAAAUAAAAAACAGUUUUUAAAAAUUGUUGACCAAUAAUUUUUUAUAUUAUUAUACAGCCCCUAUAUAUGUGAUAACAUGGUGUUAUUUUUCCUUGGAUGAAUUAUGCUUAAGUUAAUAAAUUGAAAAUCGUUUACAAGUAUAUGAACUAUAUCUUUGUUGGGUGUAAGAUAAACAUGUGAUUAUAUAUAUGAUUUCACAAAUAGAAUAUAUUCUUUAAUUUUAAUUUUUAGUUUUUCGGGUAAAAAAAAAAAGGAAACUUUUCUCAGUUAACUAUGGACAGUUAGAUAACUAUCUUUGAUUUAUGUACACAAUCAAUCGAGAAGUCAAAUAUGAGAACCAACAACAAGAAUGUCAGUUAUUAUGUUAUAACUUACAAAAUAAAAAUUAAUAUACAAAAAAUAGUUCUAAAAAAUAAAAUUUUGUUGUUUUCUUCACAUGCUCAUAUGGCAUAUAAACAGUUUAACAUGGAAUACACGUGCAAAACACAUCUGGUUUGACAAGAAAAAUACACAACAAAUAUCGUCUAUAAGGUAAUAUUAGUGAGAUACGACUAAUUACAUGAUUGAACCUCAUCAAAUUGAAAUAAAUAUAUACAUUAUUGCAUUUAACUAAUAAAUUUCUUCAUUGACCAUCUUCAUAGGUUCGCGUGAAUAAAAGAUAUAUAUGACGAUCCACAUUGAACAUUCACAAAAGAAUUUGCAGUAUUAUUUUGUGCAAAGCUUAUUAUUCAAAUCUUCGCUUAAUUAAGCUAGCGGGUCACAGACGGAUUUCUCGGUUAUCAAAAAAAAAAAAAAAACUAUUUACUAUAACAUAUAUUUUUUGAAUUGGUAAUCACGUAUCGAAAAACUAGUUAAUACAAAUUAAGUUUGUUCAAAAGUCUAUCACGUACCUUUUGUAACAACUUUGACAGAGCAGAAAACAGUGAUCCAGGUUUCACUACUUUGUUCUAUACUUUUAACCAGAAAGAAGAAUGAACAAGAGAUUUUAGGACUCCGGAGAGCAAAGUCCCGUACUUGCUUCCCUGACUAAAUAUUUUCACUUAAUAUAAAGCAUAAUAAUGAAAUUAAAUUACACCUAAUGAAGAAUUAAAAAUGAUUCAACUUUAUUGUUGCAUUAUACCCCAAUACAUUGCAUUUCAUUAUGGCCACUUGUGAUGGUUAAGAAAUGGAAAAAAAAAAGAGUUGACCUUAAUACAUAUAUAAUCUUAGAGGUGUUGCUUUCAGCUAAUGCCACUUGCACAUAGAAAAUAUGGCUGAUAGCCUUACCAGGAGACCAUUUAUUAAAAUAUGGCAGGAAGUUAGUCAGAUAUAGCUCUAAGGUCACGACUCGGUAUCAUAUUAGAUCAUUGACAUCCCACAUUACCUUUUCAUUACUACUAAAUACCAACUGCCUAUAUAGAAAAUUAGUUCAAAGCCCUGCUUUUCGCCAACUUCAGAAUUUUGGAAAUAGAAAGGAGAGUUGACCUUACCUUAAUCAACGGAGUAUAUAAUAUUGAUCUUGGAGAAGUGUCUACGAAAUUUACCUUUUCGUAUGGUAGGAAAGAUGGUUUUUCUAUAUAUAUGUUCAUUUUUUCUUACACAACUCCAUAGCAGCCGUCUCUCUCUCUAAUUAGAUCAUUGAAAUAUCUCAUGAUUUACGGAAGAAAGUCCUCAUUUGCUGCUACCAAUUUCACCACUUUGUCAAACAUCAGUUAAUUGGCAAAGAAAAGUCAAAUAAGACAAAGUUAAACAUUCAUCUUGUCAUUGAUUUCACUCAUGAUAUUAUUAGUAUAGAAAGCAGAAUGAGGUAUACCAUAGACUGUACAAAAAAAUAGUCUGGUAAGAAAAAUAGAGCGUUAGCGAUCAUCUGUUAUCGGAACUAGCAAUAUGGAUCCUAACUCAUUAGAUCUUAAGCUAGCCAACUUGUAUAGGUGUUUCAGUACUAAUUCCCAUUUGAGAGAGAAUUUUAAACUUGUUUGUUGAAAUUAAUCCAACACAUUGACGGUGAAGCAAUAGUCCAUUACAUUGAUAUAUUACACCCUAUGUUCCUAAACACGUUGAAUGAUUCCCUGGUUAAUCUAGACGUGAAGAUCACUGCCCUGACGGCGAUGAGUAACUUCAUUCAACGGGUGGGAGUUCAAAGGUAGGGAGAGGUUUCAGGAUCUGUUGCCUGCGAUGAUGGACAUGCUGAAUGAGGCAUUGGAAGAAAAUUGUGAGGCAUCAGCUCAGUCUGAGUUCGAGAUUUUGAUUGAGUUGGCCAAGAAUGAGCCUAGCUUCUUCAGGAUGCAGCUUGUGGUUGUGGUGGGUUCCAUGUUUGAUAUAGCUGAAUGUGAGAGUUAUGAAAAGAAAACGAGACAUUUGGCGGUUGAAUUCGUGAUGACAUUGGUUGAGGCCAGGGAGAAGACCCCUGGCAUGAUCAAGAAGUAUCCAUUGUUUACUGAAAAAUAUUUUGCAAUUUUAUUGAAUUUGUUAAAGGAUGAGGUUUAUGACCCUCUCUUGCCUGAUCCUUAUGGUAGAUGGGAUAGCAAUGAUGAUUUAGUUUUUCUUAAGAUGUGUUUAAACCGGUUGUCCAAUGCGCUGGGUGGUAAGACUGUUGGUCCUGUUGCCUUUGAGCAGCUCCCUGCUUACUUGGCUGACGACUCGUGGCAGAAGCCAUGCGCAGCACUCUAUGCACUUGCUCAGAUUGUUGAAGGCUGCUCAGAGGUGUGUAUUUAUUGAUACACUACUAAGAAUUGCAUUUAAACUGAUUAGUUAACGAUCUUGGGAUAGCAGAAGGUCACCUUGAUUAUACUUUCUUCUGUUAUUCUCUAGACUAAGUACUUUGCUUGCUCUCAUCUCUUCUUCAUUAUAAUAGGUGAUGAUUAAGAAUAUGAAUCUAGUGGUGACAAUGGUUCUGGAUUGUAUGGGACAUCCUCAUCCUGGAGUCAGAUUCGCCUCCAUGGAAGCAAUUCGCAUGUUUUUGCGUUUAAUGCGUCCCCAUUUUCAAGAACAAUGUCAUCACCAAGUAGUGCCAGCAUUAACCAAAGCUAUGGAUGAUGACAGUGUACAAGUGCAGGUCUGUAUGUCCUACGAUGAUAUGAACUCCUUUGGAUGCUCGUAUCAUAUGUCCCAAAUUACAGUUGCAAAAUUUUCUUACUGAACCUUCUCAAUGGGCUUAACUUUAACUUUAUUAGAUAUAAUCCCUGCUCUAACUUUACUAUCUUCAUAUUUUCCUAGGUCAGUGUCAUACGCACGGUCUGGAAGUUCCUUGAGGUUGGCACGCCUGAAUAUUUGACACUUUACAUCCAUGGAUUACACAAUAAAUUGCUUCAACUGUCGUCACAUACUGUUGCGGCGGUACGUAUUGUAGACUAAGUGCAAGAGAAAUCAGAUCAUUUUCUUGAACAAUGAACAGACAAUAUUACGAAUACAUUUAAGGGAAACAACCAUAAUUUCCAAGUUCCCAAUAUAAUUAUCCCGCCCUCCUUUAUAAAUUCAAAGCUUGUUACUCCCUUGAAUGUCCUUGAGGUCUUUACUUGCCUGAUUUUUUUUUUUUGUUUUUGACAUGAAAGGUCCAAAAAUCAGCGUCACUUGUACUCGAUCGUUUGCCUAAGCAUUUUAAGGUAUUACCUAGUAAUUCUGCUUCAACUUUUAUUAAGAGUAUGUUGUAUUAAGCUGGUUAUAUAUAUAUUAAUAUUAACAUUACUUCAACAGGAGUUCUAUGGGAACAACUACGAAUCUAUUAAACCACUUUGGAAAGCUUCCCUGGUAGAAGCAAAUUUUCCAAGUAAAGAUGUAGAGAUGAUCAUGUCAAUGCGCAAACCUGGCAGUUCGGUAUUUCCAAAACAGGUCUUCCACCAGUUAUACCAAAUGGAUUCUAUACAUCUCACUGAACUUAGAGCUUAUUGUUUAUUCGUUUUCUAUUUUUCUAUUUAGAACUUAGAGAUUAUGGAAGCAGUUAUGUCAUUACAAGGAUCACAAGAGGAUGAUAAGGAUACAAGUACGAUCUACAAGCUAGAGGUAUGUGUUGUUGAGAAUAUCGUUAACUAAUAAAAUGGUGUUCUCUCUAAUAGCUUAAGCUUUUAGAUGAGAUGGUCACGCACUUCAACAUGUUAUCAGAGCAGGCAGAGGCCCUGGGAUCAAAUCUCUUCGCCACCUUUCAAAUUAAAAAGAAUUUCCACGUGCUAAUCAGUCAGACAUUCUUUCAAGAUUGGUCUCUCUAUAUUUCUUGAUCUCAUUGCAGGCUAUUAGUGUAAUUUGUGAGGACAGAGGGAAAGAUUUUCUUCCUUGCACCAGCAUUGUCAUGCCCCUUUUGUUUCAAUGUGCUCAACUCGAACCUGAUAAAAUCAUAUUAUCUCCAGAUUCAGACCAUACUUGUUUAGCUGAUAAUAGGUACGCCUUUUUGUCUGAUCAUUGCUCUGAGUGAUCGCCUUUUUAUGUACAUUAUAACAUCUUGCAGUAUACACAGAGUCAAGGUUGGCAAUUCAACGAUAUGUAUAAAAGAAAGUUCCCUAAAGAAGAAAGCUUUAGCAUGUAAAGCCCUAGUCAUGGUUGCUUACAAAUUGAAGGAAGACUUUUACCCAUGGAUUUUCCAGGUUGUCACACUUGGACUUCUCUCUUUUUCUUUCUUUCUACCCGUGCUUUUGAUCGCGAACUGAAAAUUUGACAAGUGGUUUCAAUGGCCUAAUGCUUGAUAAAUGAUACAGACUGCUUCAAUUUUAUUUCCACUUUUGAAAUUCCAUUUCAAAGAGGUCAGGUUCCAUACAGUUGAAGGUGAGAUUUCUCAGGAUUUCACAUAGUUAAUUUCUCCGUCUUUUAUAACUAUCUGAUCACCUCCAAGACUUUUUAAUUUGUAAUGUUUAUAGCGAUGAAGCACCUUUUGCAAUCUGCUAAACUGGCUGAUGAGAAAGGGAUUGCUCCAGGUGAAAGCCAUUCGGAUUUCAAGCAGUUUUCGGACAGUAUAAUACUGAAUUUGGUGGAAGCUUUGCAUGAGGUUUACUUUUAACAUUAAGCUUCUUCUAUUUGGAUAAUGAGAAAGUAACACUUUGAUUUCUAUAUAAUGCAGGAGCUUGAAACAGAGAUAUAUGUACAUAUGUUGUAUACAUUACGACUGUGCCUUCAGGUUCGUGAUCUUUAAACACUGCUUAUUUGUUUUGAUCCAAAGUUUUCAGUGUUUCACUAUGAGCUAGGUAUGAAGUUUUUUGAAAAUGUUGCCUAUGUGGACCACUUCUCAAUGAAGAUCAGCUUCGUCCAGUCGUGGAUGAGAUAAAGCAUGUCAUUACAGAAAAUUUAAAUAGCCAAGGAAAACUCACAGAGAGAGAAAAAACAGAAGACUUCGAUGCUGAGGAAGCUGAAUUGCUGAGAGGGGAAAAACAUCAACAAGAUCAAAUAUUUAAACUUGUAUGUUCUAUAUUAAAACAGGAACUAAAGUGAUACACUGUUGUCUUUAUAUAUUCAAGCAUUUUCGCUUUGGUUCUGCUGUUAUUCUUGAACAGGCUGGUGGCAUAUUAGGUAGACUAAUCGAAUCAUUCAAGGUUGUUUUCUUGCCUUACUUUGACGAGCUAUCAUUAUAUCUGAUUCCGAUGUGGGUAAGUUCAUUGACACUAUUGUAACAUGACGUUAGUUUAUCAUUAUUCAUAUCUAGCAUAUCUUAUUGUUUCCGAUUUUUGUUAAGGACAAAGAAAUGACAAGUCUAGAGAGAUGUACAUCACUUUAUAUCUUUGGUGGUCUUGUGAAGCAUUGCUCUGAAGCAGCUCUAAAGUGAGUUUAAUUUAUCUGUAUGAGUUUUUCUUAAAUUAUUGGGGUGUCACCAUUUUGAUAAAUCACUUACUUCCUAUGCCAACUAGGUACUGUAAUGAAUUUCUACCUUUGCUUCUGAAAUCAAGCAAUGACGAAAACCCAGCAGUUAGACAGGUUUGGAUCAUCGUGAUUGCUUACAUUCCUGUUACUCAAGUUGGUUGCUCACAGUAUGGUUUAACCAAAACACCAAUGACUUCAUGUUCAGAAUGCUCUACAUGGACUUGGGUUUUAUGCAGAAUAUCAUGGUUCUGUUUUCAAACCUUUUGUUAGAGGUAUUAAUAUUGUUGAAUGUGAUACUUCUAAUCAAGCAAGUGUUUUUGUUAACUUACGCGUUUAUGUUCAGAGGCUAUGUCACGGAUCAAUGUAGUGAUAAUGCAUUUACGUGCUCGUGAACCUGAGAAUGAACUUGCAUAUGAUAGUGCUGUUUUUACCCUUGGUAAAAUAUUUCAGUUUCAUCGAGAACUUAUCGACUCAGCCCAGGUUUGUCCUUCUCAGAAUCCCUAAUGUUAAGUCUUGUUAUAAUUUCUGAUUCUGAAUCCUUGUGUAGGUCAUUCCCAUUUGGUUGAAUUGCCUGCCUGUAAAAGGUGACUAUGUUCAUGGUCAACUAUGUUCCAUGGUUGAAAGGUAUUGGAUUUGUUUGCAAACUCUAAUAUGUCAUAUCUUCAUAAAAUGCAGGAUUUUAUCCCACGUUUAGUUGAAAGUAUUAUGUAAUCAUAAGACUAUUUAUCCCACCAUUUAUACCUUAGUGAUGUGAUAAGUUAUUUCAUUCCGAAAUAGUUGAUGUCAGGAUAACUUAUUCCAAACCAAAUGACCCAUUAAUGAUUUAUCAAAUUUUCUCAAUUUCAGGUCAGAUAGAGAACUUUUGGGUACCAAUUAUGAACACUUCCCAAAAAUUAUGUCAAUUUUUGCAGAGGUUAGUUCCAUAUCAGAAUCUAUAGAUGCCAGUUUGAGUUGUUUAUUUGCUCCUGAUAAAUAUUAAAUGAGAUAAGUAUUGAAAACAUUCUUAGAUUAGGUGUAAAUUAUUAAUUUCAUAAUCGAACUAUUGACAAUCUUAAAAACACUCAAUUCUUUGACUAACUAAACUUACACUUCUGAUCUUGCAACAUGACCGAAAUACAUCCCUAAUUUAGGGGUGCUUUCAACACUCCUCUAUGAAAUAUGGCAGAUCAGAGAUGUAUCUAAGUUUAAUCUGGUCAAAUAGAGGUGUAUUUUUAAGACUAUCAAUAAUUCAAGAACGAAACGAACAAUUUGUGUCAAGUUUAAGAGUGUUUUUGAAUCAAACUAAAGACUUUUUUUAUUCAAUUUCGUAUAGUUAAUUUAGUUUCACUUUUUAAGGUUAUAUGUGGUGGAAAACAUCUUGCUACAGAAGAAACAACAAAGUGUAUGAUUAAUCUGUUGAGGAAUCUUCUUAAAGAACUACCACCAGACACUUUGACAUCAGCAUGGUCAUUGAUAUUGCCUCAGCAAGAAAUGGAACUAAAAGCCAUUUUAUUUCCUGGAAUACUUCAUGUGGUACGUUUUCACAACAAAACAUUUUGUAUGCUUGACACUGAUACCAAUGAAAGCUCUCCCCCUUACUCUUUACCAUCCAAAAUUGUCAAACUUCUCGAGGAAGAACAUCAGAAAAAUAGUAUUAUUGUUCCACAAAUGUAACUUAUAAACCAUAAAUUGUUUCUUUAAAGUUUUGUAUCAUUUAAGUAUACAAGAUGAUACUAUAGUUGAUUUGUGGGGAAUUGAAUAUGUAAUUAUCAUUAGACUAUCUAUGUUAUAUCUUUUUACGAUUUAUCUAUCCAUUUGGAAUUUCUUUAUUUUAGUUUUUCAUAAGUUGAAAUUCAUAUUGUGGCAUAUAAUUUAAAUAAUUGUUUAUUAAAAUUAAACAAGUCAAACCUUAAGGACCUAAAAUCUAAACCUGACGGCAUAAACCCUGAGAGGUCGUUUGGUGUGAAAGAUAACUUUAAAUAGUCCUACGAUUAAAUUAUAAUGUCACUAAAUUUGUUGUUUGAUUGGCAAUUUCGUGAUAACUUAUCUCAUGAUUAAUAAUUAAUACAAGGAUAAAUUAUCCCUUCCCUUGGAUGGUACAAUAAUCCCGAGACAAUUUAUCACAAGAUAAAAUGACUAAAUGACAAAAAUAUCUUUUUAAACACUUUUUAUACAUUAUUUUUCAUAUUCAUGAACGGUAUUUUUGUAAGCAUAUAUGUUGUUCUUAAGAUUUAUUAUUUUGAAUACAACAAACCAAAAAUUCAAUAAAAAAUAAUAUCAAUAUAACUUAUUCCAUCAUAACUUGAAUUCAAACCAAACGACUGCAUCUUAGAGCCCAAAAAAUAAACUCAAAACUCAAAAUCAUAAACCCUAAACCUUAAACCUUAAACCUUAAACCUCAACCUUAAAGUCUAAACCAUAAACCCAAAACUCAAAAGCUUGGGGCCUAAAACCUAAGAUUUACGAUUUAUGGUUUAGGAUUUAGACCAGGGCUGUCUUAACCCCUAGGCCACUAAAGCCAUCGCUUGGGGCCCCAUAUAUUUUGGGGCCCCCAUUUAAAAAAACAAUUACUUAUAUAUGUUAUUUAAAAAAUAAUAAUUAUAUGUAUUAUGAGUGUUAUGAUUUCUACUAAGGAAAUUGCAUAUGAGAUGAAAAUAAACUGAAUUUCGUAAGAAACAAUUUGAUGAAAAUGUGGAUAGCGAAAUCACAAAGUCCUUUGAAGAACCUUUUAGAAUUGGUUGUUUUAUAUAUGUAGAGUAGAUCAAACUAUUUUUUCACUUCAAAAUAGAUUUAAAUCAAUUGAAACAUAUGGAAAUAUUUUUGAUUUCUUAUUUAGUGGUAAAAUAUUGAGAUCACUAGAUGAACAUAUGGAAAUAUUUUUGAUUUCUUAUUUAGUGGUAAAAUAUUGAGAUCACUAGAUGAACAUAUGGAAAUAUUUUUGAUUUCUUAUUUAGUGGUAAAAUAUUGAGAUCACUAGAUGAUGAGAAUUUUUUUUUUUGUCUUAACUUUGAACUUUCUUUAUCAUGUGAUAGUUAUUAUGAUAUUGAUGGUUUAGAUUCAUUUUUUGAAUUAAAAGUGUUAAGGGAAAUAAUACAAGUAGAAGAUAAUGAUCUAAUGAAAAUNNNNNNNNNNNNNNNNNNNNNNNNNNNNNNNNNNNNNNNNNNNNNNNNNNNNNNNNNNNNNNCUCAAUCAAAUAAAAAGACUUGAUUCUUUUCCAAAUACUCAUAUUGCUUAUAGAAUAAUGUUAACAGUUCCUGUAACUAUUGUCUCAGCCGAAAGAAGUUUUUUGCGAAAUUAAAAUUGAUUAAAUCUUCUUUAAGAUCAACAAUGUCUAAAGAGAGAUUGAAUGAAUUAGCUAUAUCAUCAUUUGAAAAGAAAUUAUUAAAACAAAUUGAUUAUAAUAUAGUACCUAAUGACUUCACAUCUAAAAUAGCUAGAAAAGUAGAUAUUAAAUAAAAGUAUUUAUGAUGAAAAAAAAUUAGGGCCUCUCUCUUAAGUUUCGCUUUAGGCCCCCAAUGUUGUUGAGUCGGUCCUGAUUUAGACUCUAAGAUUUAUAUUUUAGGGGUUAUAGUUUAUAGUUUUGACUAUAAGAUUUAGGAUUUAAGAUUUAUAAUUUUAGAGUUUAGGCCUUAUGGUUAAGUGUUUAGAGAUUAAGAUUUAUAAUUCAUGUAUAAAUUAAAAUAUAGGGUUUAGGUCCAAGGUUCAUAUGGUUAUUUGAGGUCAAUCUUUAAGAAUAAUUGAACCAAACCCAUUUGAACCCAAAAUAAAUUUGAACGCAUUGAUCAACUUCGUGAUUUUUUUCUACACUUUUGACUCUUCAUCACCUUUCUACAAUUACAAUUGUUUCACAAAUCCUUUUUUAAAAUCUUUCAAAACAUAAUUAUAAAAAAUAUCUUUGUAAAUCCAUUCUAUUUCCUAAUCCCUUUCAUAAAACAAAUAAUCAAAAUAGCCUCAGAAGGAAGGCAGUAGUAUAGUCAUAAUCAUUAUUUUGAUCAUUAACGCAAAUCUACUCAUCAUCGGCAAAAAAAUAAUAAUUAAAAGAAACAAAAAAACAAUUAUUAUUGUAAUGCUUGAAAGUUUUGCAAUUUUCCUAAUUCAAAAUUAUUGACUAUCGAUUUUGAUAAUGUAUUUCUCAAAAUUGUUGUGUGAAAUACAUGAGUAAAAUUUUGACUAUCAAUAAUUUUGACAUGAGUAAAAUACAUCUGAACUCAAAAUUCAAAAUACAUUUCAAAACUCAAAAUUAAGAGUCAAAUUUGAGCAUAAAAUUUAGGACUUGGAAUCUAAACUCAAAAUUUGAAAGCAUAUACCUUAGGGCAUAGACCCUAAACCUUAAGAGCCUAAACUCUAAACAUUAUGUCCAAUUUUAUGAACCCUAAAUCUUGAACCUUAAAUCCCAAGUCAUAAACCCUAAAAUCUUAGAACUUAACCCAAAACUCUAAACCUUAAAGCCUAAACCUUAAACCUUAAACCUUUAAAUCCUAAAUCUUAAUGUUUAGGAUUUAUGAUUUAUGGUUUUAGAUUUUAAAAUUUAAGAUUUAGAGUUCAGACAAUAUGGUCAAGAGUUUUAAGUUUUAUGAUAUAAGAUUUAGGCCUUAAAAUUUGAAGUUUAGAUUUUAACAAUUAGCCUCUAAACUUUAAGAUUAAAAAUACAGCAUUUGAACAUUAUUAUAAUAAAUAAUUAUGUAGUACCCCAACGUCCAAAUACACCACAAAAAUUAGAUGCAGAGGAUAGCGAGGGGAACAUUAUUAUAGCUUCACUUGCUAAAGUACCACACCAUAAAAGUGUAAUCCACAAAAUAUAAUUAGCAAAGCAUAGAACAAUUAACAACAACAUACCCAAUAAAAUCCCCACAAAUCCACGCAAACCUUAUCAUUAUCUCGUAAAAAAAAAUAAAAAAAUAUGAAAUUAAUUCAGUCCCUUAGAUGUUCAAUUAAUUGCGAUCAUCUUCGCAAAUCAUUACAGGUCUGUAACUGUAAAAAAUUAAUCAUCAUUGUUGUUUCAGAAAAGGGUCAAAAUUGUCCCCGAACUAUAUGAAAUAGACCAUUUAUACCCUUCGUUACAUUUUGGGAUCAAAAAUGCCCCUGCUGUUAUCCUAAGAGACCACAAAUACCCUCAAGAGUUAACACCCCAAAUUUUUGUUGAUGUGGCAAGCCACAUGGGACUAAUCCUUCCACCUAAGAGUUGCCAACUAGGAUUCACUACAAAAGAACUAGACUUUUAGCGGCAAUAACAGUCGCCACAAAAGCCCAGAAAAUCGUCACUAAAAGUUUUUAACAUUAAAUUCUAAUUUUGUGUUUUUUUCUUCAUUGUUUUUAAAAAACCAAAUAUGAUAUCGAUUAAGUAGGAGUUUGAAGACACUAUAUGUUUUAUUUUUAUGUCAUAUGUAAAUGUAUAAAAUGUACAAUGAUGCAUUAUAUAUAUAUAGUAGGAGAUUUGAAUCGAGAAGUAAUUUUGAUGAUUUUUCGUAAUAAUAUUGGAUAUUUUUAAUAUUGAUAUUGCAAAGUUAUUUAUUUUAGAAAAUUAGGUUGCAAUCGAAAAUUAAUUAUCAUAUUAUUUUGUUGAAAAAAUAGGUUUUACUAGCGAAUGGUUGUUGGAGCGUUAGUCGCCACUAAAAAUCACUCAUAACCUUUAGUGGCAAUAUUUUGAGGUUUUGUGGCGACUUUGUCGCCACUAAAAGUCAAGUUCUUUUGUAGUGAAUCUUAGUUGGCAAUGCUUAGGUGGAGGGAUUAGUCCCAUGUGACUUGCCACGUCACUAAAAAAUUGGGGUGUUUAACUCUUGAGGGUAUUUGUGGUCUCCUGGGAUAACUGCGGGGGUAUUUUUGAUUCCAAAAUGUAAUUGAGAGUAUAAGUGGUCUAUUUCGCAUAGUUCAGGGUCAAUUUUGACCCUUUUCCGUUGUUGUUUUCAUAUACAAUGAUUAGAAUAAAAUAUAUAUAAAAAUUUUUGAUGAACAAACUCAGUCCCUUAGAUGUUCAAUUUUUUGCGAUCAUUUUCGGCAAAUCAUUACAGGUCUGUAACUGUAAAAAAUUACUCAUCAUCGUUGUUCAUCAUCAAAAAACUAUUAUGAAAAAAAUUAAAAAAAAAGUUGUGGCUGCACCAAUUGUUCUCCACAGAUUAAAUUAAAUGAAGAGAAAGAUGAAAAAGGAACAACACACUUAUUAAUGCUUCAAGGGAACGAGUUGGUCAAAAAUAAAUUAUUUCUUGCCAACCAGAUUAAAGAAGCAUAUAACUCAAAAUAUAUACACAAAAAUAAUAAAUUUAUUUAGAGUUUAGAAGAUAUAUCACCAUCUAGCUGGAUAUGAUUAUUAUGCAUAAUGAAUAAAGGAAACAGCUUAAGAGAAAAACUGGUCCGUUAGAUCUCCUCUUUCAAUCGCAAUCUUCUAUUUCUGCACAGCAAAGAAACACUUCUCAAAUAUAUUUUACGAAAGAUUUAACAGGUAAAAGUGUACAAGCUCAAAAUAUGAUGCAAUUAAUCUUGAGUCAGUUACCUGUUAAACCAGUGUUGCCGCUUUUUAUAUGCAAGGGGUAAAUAAGGACCUUGAGCUCUGCAUUUGCAUAUCCUUCUUGCACUUCUUGAAUGUCCUUGACUGAUUUUUCAAGAGACUCACCACAUCGUUUCACUUCAACGUAUCAGAGCCUAAGGGCUCAAAUCUUUAGAUUCUCUAAAACAAAAUUUCAAUAAGGGGUCUACAGUAUAAAUAAAAUUUUAAUAUUCAAACAUUUCAAUAUUAUUUAAAUUAAUUUACCUUAGAGAUUGACAUAAUUCGAAAACCAAAUACCGAAUAAAUAAUUCAUAAAACUGAAAUUAUCAUCGCCGGACCAGUGACCACUAGUACCUCCAAACAACUCAAAAACAAACUACCACCCGAUCACACCAAAUCGGUCGUUACAUGAAAUGAGACAUUUCAUGGUAACGAUGGAUCUAAAUGAUACAAUACAAUAAAAUUUAAGUAACAAUCAACAUAAGUAUUGUAUUUAAACUAACUAUACAAUAUAAUGGGUAACAACCAUCCAAACAAGGUGUUAAUGUAAAAGCAUACAGAAUAUCAUAUAAUAAAGUUCAUAUAUCAAUGCAAUGGAUCCAUUGAAAGAAAGUAUUUUGAAGUACACACAAAACUCAAAAACAAGAAAAUUAUCCAUCUAGCUGGAUAUGAUUAUGCAUAAUGAACAGAGGAAACAGCUUAAGAGAAAAACUGGUCCGUUAGAUCUCCUCUUUCAAUCGCAAUCUUCUAUUUCUGCACAGCAAAGAAACACUUCUCAAAUAUAUUUUACGAAAGAUUUAACAGGUAAAAGUGUACAAGCUCAAAAUAUGAUGCAAUUAAUCUUGAGUCAGUUACCUGUUAAACCAGUGUUGCCGCUUUUUAUAUGCAAGGGGUAAAUAAGGACCUUGAGCUCUGCAUUUGCAUAUCCUUCUUGCACUUCUUGAAUGUCCUUGACUGAUUUUUCAAGAGACUCACCACAUCGUUUCACUUCAACCAUCUUUAGAGUAGCAAUAUGUCCAACCAUGGAAGGAAUUUCUCGAAGAUUAAAGCAGUUUUCUAUAAGAAUGUGUUCGAGGUUGGGAAAGGACUCAUCUGAUGCAUUCCAUGUUGUUAUUGUAAGGGAUCUUAAUUUAAGAACCUUGAGGUUCAGAAACUCUUCAUCUUCGAUCUCCCAUUUGUCCUGCUGAAAUGCUCUAUGUUCCAACUUGAGAACCACUAAAUUUGGUAAUCUUCCGAUAUUAGACAGUUCACUUUGUGGCAACAAAACAUCUGAUAGAGUUAGCUUUGUUAGUGUCGCGGGCAAGGUGAAAUUCAAAAUCUUACCGUUUACACUGAGUGUUUCAAGUUGAAGAGCAUGUAAUUUGAGUUUGAGAGGCUCUUUACAGUGGCAUUUGAGCUUUCGCAGUCUGCUUGCCUUCUUGACCAUGUAGUCUACUAGCUCAUUAGUGAGAGACACUGUGGCCAAGGUCUCUAUGUUUGUCGAUGUCUGAGGAAUGCGUCCAUCAAAAGAUGCAACAGGUUCAACAUGUACAUGCUUUAGCCUUGGCAUAUUCCAGAUGGUCAUCGGUAAAAUUGUGCCACUGCCUACUGUUAUUACAAGCAAUACCUCUAGGUUUGAAAGGUUCGAUAUCCAUAAUGGCAUAGAUACCAUAUAGCCUUUGAUUCCUAAGUACUUCAAAUGGAUCAGCUCUUUUGAUCUCUGGAAUGAACUCUCCGACAUAGUACAUUCCAUUUGUAGUACUCUUAAUAGUUUAAAGUUCUCAAGAUCAAGAAAUUCCUGGCAGCCAGAUUUCGGGGGUCUGAAGAAUGCAGAUCGAACUUGCAUGUUUCCAAUCUUCCCUGCCCAAUAAAGGCUAUGAUGAAUGCAAAGCCUCCGGUGCUCAUAAAAGGAACUAGACAAAUCAGUCUUCCCGGUGCUUGUUAGUUGCAUAAACUUCUCUUCCUUAGACUUUGUCAUGCAAAAAUCAUGUAACAUAUCAUGAAUGCGGCAUGUUCUGACUCCUCCAGUGGACUUUCUCUUGCUCACCAUUAUCAAGCUUCUACCAAUGAGAUCAUUCAGUAAACUUUCUACAGCAAGGUGUAUACUUUCUACCUCUAUGUUUGGCACCAAUCCCUCAAUAGUCCAUAACCACUCCAAGUUCGAGAGUGGAAUUUCUUCAUCCUUUUGAAAUGAUGCAAAAUAUAGAAGGCAGGGUUUGAGAUGAUCAGGCAAGUGCUUGUAGCUCAGUUCUAUAACCUCCAUGCACUCUUUUGCACUAGUAACAGUAUCUAACUUUAUACUCUCUGCGACUCUUCUCCAACUUUCCUCAUUUUCGCUUAUCCCAGACAAAACUCCAGCAACCAAAAUCACAAGGAGAGGUAGUCCUUUACACUUACUCGCGAUGUUUGCUCCUACUUUUGAUAGGUCUGGUGGGCAAGUUUGUUCCUUGAACAGCUUGAUUUUCAUUAGUUCCCAACUUUCAUUUUCGUCAAGAAAACGAAGUUCAAGAGGUUCUCUUCCACGUGUAAUGUUGGAAGCCACAUCAAUGUUUCGGCUGGUUAAUAAAAUCCUGCUUCCGUUUCCAUUAUCCGGUAAGCAUCUGUGCAAGUAUUUCCAUGUGUCAACACUCCAUAUGUCAUCAAUGUAGAGAAGGUACUUCUUUCUUAACAGAAAUUUCCGCAAAGCAUCUGCUGGAUCUUUCUCAUUCUGUUUGUUAGAACAUUUGACUUGAUUCAAAAUUCCGAGCAGCAACUUUCUUCUGUCAUAAGUUUGGGAAACACAACACAUAGCUUGGACGUCAAAAUGACGCCGCAUUUUCUUAUCAUGAAAAACUUUCUUUGCUAGUGUAGUUUUUCCAAGACCAGGCAUCCCUACGAUAGAAACAACAUCCAAGUACUUUGGUCCUAUAGUGAGCUGUUCGAUUAGCAAGUCAGUCUCAUCCUUAAAACCCACCAUUACCUCAUCAUGUUGUGUAGUCUCAACUACUGGUCUGACAGGAUUUGGUCCUUGUUCUUCAAUAGGGACUUCAACUUCUCGCGUAAUCGUAGCAUGGAACUCUUUCAAAUGAUCCCUUACAACCUUAGUUUCUGUUGUGAUCUUACAUAACAAAUGUAGAUACCAAACAGGAUAAUCUCCGGUAACCAGGCAAUCAAUUAUGCAUUCUGCCUGAUAUGCUAGAGAUAUGACUUCUGUCCAUAGAUCAUGUUUCUUCACCUCCUCAAACUCAUGGUUUUUCUUCUCAACUUCCUUCAAGAAGAAUCUUAAGAGAUAUAACUCUUCCCGAGCUUCUUCAAUAAGAUGCUUGACAACAGAAUCACACUUUCCGUCUUGCAGCAGCUCUUUCAGAUAGCAUAAGAGAUAAUCGAUAAACCCCAAUCCAUUUGUCCUAGGAAAAUUACAUUUUGAUGACACUACAUCUUUCAGAAUCACAUCUUUUAGAUCUUCCAUGACAUGUUCAAUCUUUUUUAACAAGUCACUGAAUACCGAGUUAACUUCUGCUGCUUUGUCAACGGAGAAAGAGAAAGCAGCAGAUACUACCUCAGCAAUCAGACCUUCAAUGCAAGUAAGUUUGUCACUCAUUUUUUCCUGGAUAACAUAUAAAUCUUCUGGUGGACAAAUGAGCAAAGUUACCAAUUGCUUUGAUGCUUCGGCAAGGCUUUUGAUUUGAUCCUUUUUAAGAGGAAGCAUCAAAGAACAUGCCUCACCGUCUGAUAACUCCAACAAAUCCUUGAAGAUGAAAUGAACAAAACCUUCAACAAAUUCUAUCACAUCCCGGCUGUAUUGGAUUUGCAAUUUAACUGAACCUCUUAGAGCUCCAGUAUAGAUUUCUGCAACGUCCGGAUCAAUGGGCUUGAUAUAUUUCAAAACAUGAGAGAUUUGAAGUGUCAACACAGAUGCUGAAUCUCCAUCCAUUUCUUCCACAUAACAAAGGUAACAUAUGUAUGCAGCAUUCACUGUGAUGCCCUCUAUAUGAUUAAAAAGAAUCUUGGAUUUCUCUAGCUCCAUGCUUGCAUCUUUUAUGAAAUUGAGGAAGGUUUUUAGAUAUUUUAGACUUUCUUCAAGGACUUGAAACUCUUUCUUCAGAAGAACAAACUUGUCGAAAUCUUUCUUGUUGAUGAGAAGAUCCUUCACAUUCUGAAGGAUACACUCAAUGAAUUUCUGAAACAAUGGGCUGCAUAAAUUUGGUAAAGGCCACCUCCCUGGAACCAAUGAAAGGAGAAACUCAUAACCUUCUUUGACUUCGGCAGAAGCUAAGUCUGCCCUUGGUCCCGAGACAGUGUCACCGACUUGCAUUCCAUGUCUGCACAAUCUCCCCUCCUUAAUCCUUCCUUUUUCAUUUGCCCAAUACAAGAAAGUACCAAAAAAUCUCCUCUCUAUUUCAGACAUUUGUUUUCUAGCAGAAUUUCCUCAGAGUGGAUAUAUGUCGACAGCUCUGCAAAGAGAUUAUAAACAAAUCACAUUCUAGGACAAACAAUGCAUACUCCAUAAUCUAGUUGCUCUUCAUAUUGCGUCAAAUCCGGUGUAUCAUGAAAAAACUAAACAUAUUGAGGUUGAUUGUCAUUUUAUUCGUGAGAAGAUUCAGGAAAACAUGAUUUCCAUUGGCUACGUGAAGACAUGAGAGCAACUAGCUGAUCUAAUUUUAUUGAAUUUUGUUCUUUGGUUUUACAUUGGUUUAGACAAUUAAAAUACAUAAUUUAAUUUUAAUUUUCCUUAAAUAUUUAGUAAUGUAACUAAUACUUAUUAAACUUGUAAUUUUAGCAUGAUUUAGUACUUUUAAAUUAUGAUCAUUUUCAUUAUGACUUUGCAAUAUUUAUUUUAUAUAAUGAUUUCAUUAUUAUUUUUUAUUGAAUAUUUUUGUUCAUCAGUACUCAUCUCAUAUUUUGUGUUAUUUUUUUUUAAGAAAUACCUUAGAUAAUUGUAUUUUGGUUGGACUAAAGAAAUAUUUGGAGCACAAGUUAAUUAUAUGUUUGUAUGCAAACUUUACCGAAAAAAUCCAAAAAUCUAAAAAAAUCCGAGGUUUAUUAGUUUGGUUUGAUUUAUAAAUUUAAAAAUUCGACACAAUGGUUUGGUUUGGUAUUUGAAAAACCUGAAAAAAUCCGAAUUUUAUUAGUUUGGUUUGGUUUAUAAAUUUAAAUUUUUUACACAAAUGGUUUGAUUUGAUAUUUGAAAAACCCAAACCAAUCCGGUCAUGUACACCCCUAAUUGCAAUUAUAACUUGAUUAUGUGGAGUAUAGAUUUCAUAAGAAUAAUACUACUUGUUUAAUGUAGAAAAAAAAUAUAUGUUACUUAAUUCUAUGCAAAGCAUGUUAGCCCCAUAGAAUCGGGUAAUUUUGAUAAUGAAACACUUAAUCGACUUGUGACUUAUUGCAGGCAAAUAAGGAAAGAAAUGAGCCAAGCAUACAACACCUAAAUUAUGAACUAUGUCUAUUUGUAUAACAGAUGAAUGAAGAAUAUAAAAUGAUGCAACUUCAUUGUUUCAUUAUGGCCACUGGUAAUGGCUAAGAAAUGAUUUUUUCCCCUCUGUUUCAAUUUGUUUGACCUAUUUUGACUUGACAUGAAAUUUAAGAAAGUAAAAAAGAUUUUUGAAUCUUGUGGUCUUAAAUAUGUCGUGUAGAAAAUUGAAGUUAAAGAGUUGCUAAAAAAAGAAAAGGUCAUUCUUUUUUAAACAGACUAAAAAGAAAAGUAAAUCAAACAAAUUAAAAAGGAGGAAAUAAUUGAAAGUUUAAACCUACUAAAAAGAAAAUUAGGUGAAGAGUCAGUGUCAUACUAAUUAGAUCAUUGAAAUAUCUCAUGAUUUACGGAAGAAAGUCCUCAUUUGCUGCUACCAAUUUCACCACUUUGUCAAACAUCAUUUAAUUGGCAAAGAAAGUCAAAUAAGACAUUUGCAAGUUAGAUAUUAUUCUUGUCAUUGAUUUCACUCAUGAUAUUAUUCGUAUUAGAAAGCAGAAUGAGGUAUACCAUAGACUGUAUAAAAAAAUAGUCUGCUAAGAAAAAUUGAGUGUUAGCGAUCAUCUCUUAUCGGAAAAGGUCGGAAUCUAAGUCAAUGAUGAAGCAGAAGGAUCCCUAACUCAUUAGCUCUUAAGCUAGCCAAGUCUCUUGGCUCUGAUCAGCUAGCUGCUGCACUUCAUCCUGACAACAACUGGCCUAAAUUAUUACCAAUCUUUUAUAGAUGUUUCAGUACUCACUACAAGAAAAUGUACAUACGGCGACAUUAAUUUGGUGACAUUUGAAAUAAAUGUCGGAAAAUAAAGAAUUUUACGAUAUUUAGGAACAAAAUGUCAUAAAACAAUGACAUUUGAUGUCAAAUGUCGUAAAAAUAAUGACAUUUGGUAUCAAAUAUCAUAAAAAUAAUGACAUUUGGUCCAAAAUGUCACUAUGAUAAUGACAUUUAUUGCAAAAUAUCGUUGUUUUUAGCGACAUUUAGCAAAAAUGUCAUUUAAAUGAUGACAUUUGCUACAAAUGUCGAAUAUAAUAUGACAUUUACUACAAAAUGUCAUUGGUUUUAGUGACAUUUAGAAAAAAUAUCGCUUAAAUAGUGACAUUUAAUAUAAAUGUCGAAUAUAUUAUGACAUUUACUGACAAAUGUCAUUGAUUUUAGUGACAUUUAGAAAAAAUGUUACUAAAAUAGUGACAUUUGUAGUAAAAUGUCAUUGAUUUUAGCGAUUUUUAGCAAAAUUGUUGCUAAAAUAGCGACAUUUCAUACAAUUGUCGAAUAUAUUACGACAUUUAUUGCAAAAUGUCAUUGAUUCGAUCGACAUAUAUAGUGAAAAUUUCCCUAAAACAGUGACAUUUUUAUACAAAUAUCAAAUAUAUUAUGUCAUUUGUUGAAAAAUGUCAUUGAUUUUUAUGACAUAUGAUGAAAAGUACUGUUAAACNNNNNNNNNNNNNNNNNNNNNNNNNNNNNNNNNNNNNNNNNNNNNNNNNNNNNNNNNNNNNNNNNNNNNNNNNNNNNNNNNNNNNNNNNNNNNNNNNNNNNNNNNNNNNNNNNNNNNNNNNNNNNNNNNNNNNNNNNNNNNNNNNNNNNNNNNNNNNNNNNNNNNNNNNNNNNNNNNNNNNNNNNNNNNNNNNNNNNNNNNNNNNNNNNNNNNNNNNNNNNNNNNNNNNNNNNNNNNNNNNNNNNNNNNNNNNNNNNNNNNNNNNNNNNNNNNNNNNNNNNNNNNNNNNNNNNNNNNNNNNNNNNNNNNNNNNNNNNNNNNNNNNNNNNNNNNNNNNNNNNNNNNNNNNNNNNNNNNNNNNNNNNNNNNNNNNNNNNNNNNNNNNNNNNNNNNNNNNNNNNNNNNNNNNNNNNNNNNNNNNNNNNNNNNNNNNNNNNNNNNNNNNNNNNNNNNNNNNNNNNNNNNNNNNNNNNNNNNNNNNNNNNNNNNNNNNNNNNNNNNNNNNNNNNNNNNNNNNNNNNNNNNNNNNNNNNNNNNNNNNNNNNNNNNNNNNNNNNNNNNNNNNNNNNNNNNNNNNNNNNNNNNNNNNNNNNNNNNNNNNNNNNNNNNNNNNNNNNNNNNNNNNNNNNNNNNNNNNNNNNNNNNNNNNNNNNNNNNNNNNNNNNNNNNNNNNNNNNNNNNNNNNNNNNNNNNNNNNNNNNNNNNNNNNNNNNNNNNNNNNNNNNNNNNNNNNNNNNNNNNNNNNNNNNNNNNNNNNNNNNNNNNNNNNNNNNNNNNNNNNNNNNNNNNNNNNNNNNNNNNNNNNNNNNNNNNNNNNNNNNNNNNNNNNNNNNNNNNNNNNNNNNNNNNNNNNNNNNNNNNNNNNNNNNNNNNNNNNNNNNNNNNNNNNNNNNNNNNNNNNNNNNNNNNNNNNNNNNNNNNNNNNNNNNNNNNNNNNNNNNNNNNNNNNNNNNNNNNNNNNNNNNNNNNNNNNNNNNNNNNNNNNNNNNNNNNNNNNNNNNNNNNNNNNNNNNNNNNNNNNNNNNNNNNNNNNNNNNNNNNNNNNNNNNNNNNNNNNNNNNNNNNNNNNNNNNNNNNNNNNNNNNNNNNNNNNNNNNNNNNNNNNNNNNNNNNNNNNNNNNNNNNNNNNNNNNNNNNNNNNNNNNNNNNNNNNNNNNNNNNNNNNNNNNNNNNNNNNNNNNNNNNNNNNNNNNNNNNNNNNNNNNNNNNNNNNNNNNNNNNNNNNNNNNNNNNNNNNNNNNNNNNNNNNNNNNNNNNNNNNNNNNNNNNNNNNNNNNNNNNNNNNNNNNNNNNNNNNNNNNNNNNNNNNNNNNNNNNNNNNNNNNNNNNNNNNNNNNNNNNNNNNNNNNNNNNNNNNNNNNNNNNNNNNNNNNNNNNNNNNNNNNNNNNNNNNNNNNNNNNNNNNNNNNNNNNNNNNNNNNNNNNNNNNNNNNNNNNNNNNNNNNNNNNNNNNNNNNNNNNNNNNNNNNNNNNNNNNNNNNNNNNNNNNNNNNNNNNNNNNNNNNNNNNNNNNNNNNNNNNNNNNNNNNNNNNNNNNNNNNNNNNNNNNNNNNNNNNNNNNNNNNNNNNNNNNNNNNNNNNNNNNNNNNNNNNNNNNNNNNNNNNNNNNNNNNNNNNNNNNNNNNNNNNNNNNNNNNNNNNNNNNNNNNNNNNNNNNNNNNNNNNNNNNNNNNNNNNNNNNNNNNNNNNNNNNNNNNNNNNNNNNNNNNNNNNNNNNNNNNNNNNNNNNNNNNNNNNNNNNNNNNNNNNNNNNNNNNNNNNNNNNNNNNNNNNNNNNNNNNNNNNNNNNNNNNNNNNNNNNNNNNNNNNNNNNNNNNNNNNNNNNNNNNNNNNNNNNNNNNNNNNNNNNNNNNNNNNNNNNNNNNNNNNNNNNNNNNNNNNNNNNNNNNNNNNNNNNNNNNNNNNNNNNNNNNNNNNNNNNNNNNNNNNNNNNNNNNNNNNNNNNNNNNNNNNNNNNNNNNNNNNNNNNNNNNNNNNNNNNNNNNNNNNNNNNNNNNNNNNNNNNNNNNNNNNNNNNNNNNNNNNNNNNNNNNNNNNNNNNNNNNNNNNNNNNNNNNNNNNNNNNNNNNNNNNNNNNNNNNNNNNNNNNNNNNNNNNNNNNNNNNNNNNNNNNNNNNNNNNNNNNNNNNNNNNNNNNNNNNNNNNNNNNNNNNNNNNNNNNNNNNNNNNNNNNNNNNNNNNNNNNNNNNNNNNNNNNNNNNNNNNNNNNNNNNNNNNNNNNNNNNNNNNNNNNNUAUGACAUUUACUACAAAAUGUCAUUGGUUUUAGUGACAUUUAGAAAAAAUAUCGCUUAAAUAGUGACAUUUAAUAUAAAUGUCGAAUAUAUUAUGACAUUUACUGACAAAUGUCAUUGAUUUUAGUGACAUUUAGAAAAAAUGUUACUAAAAUAGUGACAUUUGUAGUAAAAUGUCAUUGAUUUUAGCGAUUUUUAGCAAAAUUGUUGCUAAAAUAGCGACAUUUCAUACAAUUGUCGAAUAUAUUACGACAUUUAUUGCAAAAUGUCAUUGAUUCGAUCGACAUAUAUAGUGAAAAUUUCCCUAAAACAGUGACAUUUUUAUACAAAUAUCAAAUAUAUUAUGUCAUUUGUUGAAAAAUGUCAUUGAUUUUUAUGACAUAUGAUGAAAAGUACUGUUAAACGACUACAACAUUUUAUGUCUACAACCACCCUAGAAAAGUGUGGCCUUUGAUAAAAGGCCACACUUUUUGACUUUAAGCCACGCUUUUCCAGGGGUGACCGAAAGAAGCAUAACCUUAGAGUUUAGGCGACACUUUUCAAGUGUUGCCUUAUCAGCUACGCUUAAAAGCGUAACCUAAAAGGCAAAAAGGCCACGCUUUGUAGUACCUCAUAUAGCUUAACAUUUCUAUCUCAUACAGCUACACUUUCAAGGGUGGCCUUUGCUUCCUUAUUGCCCACGAUUUUAAAGUGUUGCCUUUUCUAUCUUAUGUAUGACAACACUUUGAAGUGUAGUCCUUGCUCAUGUGCAUACCACAAUUUAUAGUUAUUUGGCUGCACUUUUAAGUGUGGUAAUAUUAUUUUUACUAUAAAAUAUUUAUAUGCCACAAUUUCUAAUUAAAAACAUCAAUAUUAUUUUGCAAUAAAUAAUCUCAAACACUAAAUUAGCUAAUAAGUAAUUCAAAUAUAUAGAUUUACAAUAAACUUCAAAAGAUAGUAUGCUAAUCAUUGUUGCCUUAAUCUGUGUGUCAUUUUUUAAAGUGGACAACUAAAUAGGGAUGGAAGGAGUAAUAAACAAUGACUAAGAAAGACUAAUUAAUUAUUUUUCUUGUUCUUUCCUCUAAUGGAGGACAGAUGGAAGAUUAAUAAAAUAUUAUUUAUCUUCUUAAAAGUUUUAGAGGCCCACUUAAUAAUUGCUACAAAACAAAGAUGCUAAUCAGCUAAAGGAUAUAUUGUAGAAUAAUAAUUUAUACUCCCUUCCUUCGUUUUUAUUUGUCCUAAUUUUACUUGACACACCCAUUAAGAAAAUAAUUAUUAAUAUAGAUAUUUUAUUAAAUUGUCCCUAUUAAACGAUGUUUAGUAUUAAGUAUUGGAAAGUGACUUGGAAAUAGAGUAUUUAAUAUUGAGGGUAAAAUAUGGAAAAAUAUAAUUGUCUUUUUAUGAUAUGUCAAAAGCAACAAAUAAAAUGAAAAUUUAUUUUAGGAAUAAGUGAAAGUGAACGGGAGAGUAUUAAUUUUAUCUACCCGAGUUAAGAGGUUCGAAUCAAUGAUUUCUUUAUCUUGUCUUUUUAGCAUUGCAAUUAGGGGUGUAUAAAAUCGAACCGAAAAUCGAACCAAGCCGCAAACCGAAAAAAAAACUUGACUAGUGGUUUGGUUUGACUUGAUUUGGUAUUGGAAAAAAAAACCCGACUAUAUUUGGGUUGAGUUGGUUUUAACUAAAAAAAACCAACCCGAGACCAAACCAACCCGACAUUUAUUAGUUUGGUUUGAUUUAUAAAUUUAAAAAUUCGACACAAUGGUUUGGUUUGGUAUUUGAAAAACCUGAAAAAAUCCGAAUUUUAUUAGUUUGGUUUGGUUUAUAAAUUUAAAUUUUUUACACAAAUGGUUUGAUUUGAUAUUUGAAAAACCCAAACCAAUCCGGUCAUGUACACCCCUAAUUGCAAUUAUAACUUGAUUAUGUGGAGUAUAGAUUUCAUAAGAAUAAUACUACUUGUUUAAUGUAGAAAAAAAAUAUAUGUUACUUAAUUCUAUGCAAAGCAUGUUAGCCCCAUAGAAUCGGGUAAUUUUGAUAAUGAAACACUUAAUCGACUUGUGACUUAUUGCAGGCAAAUAAGGAAAGAAAUGAGCCAAGCAUACAACACCUAAAUUAUGAACUAUGUCUAUUUGUAUAACAGAUGAAUGAAGAAUAUAAAAUGAUGCAACUUCAUUGUUUCAUUAUGGCCACUGGUAAUGGCUAAGAAAUGAUUUUUUCCCCCUCUGUUUCAAUUUGUUUGACCUAUUUUGACUUGACAUGAAAUUUAAAAAAGUAAAAAAGACUUUUGAAUCUUGUGGUCUUAAACAUGUCGUGUGGAAAGUUGAAGUUAAAGAGUUGCUAAAAAAAGAAAGGGUCAUUCUUUUUGAAACAGACUAAAAAGAAAAGUAAGUCAAACAAAUUAAACGGAGGAAGUAAUUGAAAGUCUAAACCUACUAAAAAGAAAAUUAGGUGAAGAGUCGGUGUCAUACCAAUUAGAUCAUUGAAAUAUCUCAUGAUUUACGGAAGAAAGUCAAACAAAUUAAACGGAGGAAGUAAUUGAAAGUCUAAACCUACUAAAAAGAAAAUUAGGUGAAGAGUCGGUGUCAUACCAAUUAGAUCAUUGAAAUAUCUCAUGAUUUACGGAAGAAAGUCCUCAUUUGCUGCUACCAAUUUCACCACUUUGUCAAACAUCAGUUAAUUGGCAAAGAAAAGUCAAAUAAGACAAAGUUAGAUAUAUUUUCUGAAAUGGUAAUCACGUAUAGAAAAACUAGUUAAUACAAAUUAAGUUUGUUCAAAAGUCUAUCACGUACCUUUUGUAACAACUUUGACAGAGCAGAAAACAGUGAUCCAGGUUUCACUACUUUGUUCUAUACUUUUUACCAAAAAGAGAUUUUAGGACUCCGGAGAGCAAAGUCCCGUACUUGCUUUCCUGACUAAAUAUUUUCACAUGUGUGUUAAUCAUGGAAGACUUUGAGAUCAGGAGAAGGCCAUUAUUGUCACUUAAUAUAAAGUAUAAUAAUGAAAUUAAAUUACACCUAAUGAAGAAUAAAAAAUGAUUCAACUUGAUUGUUGCAUUAUACCCCAAUACAUUGCAUUUCAUUAUGGCCACUUGUGAUGGUUAAGAAAUGGAAAAAAAAAAGACUUAGCUCUAAGGUCACGACUCGGUAUCAUAGUAGAUCAUUGACAUCCCACAUUACCUUUUCAUUACUACUAAAUACCAACUGCCUAUAUAGAAAAUUAGUUCACAGCCCUGCUUUUCGCCAACUUCAGAAUUUUGGAAAUAGAAAGGAGAGUUGACCUUACCUUAAUCAACGGAGUAUAUAAUAUUGAUCUUGGAGAAGUGUCUACGAAAUUUACCUUUUCGUAUGGUAGGAAAGAUGGUUUUUCUAUAUAUAUGUUCAUUUUUUCUUACACAACUCCAUAGCAGCCGUUUCUCUCUCUAAUUAGAUCAUUGAAAUAUCUCAUGAUUUACGGAAGAAAGUCCUCAUUUGCUGCUACCAAUUUCACCACUUUGUCAAACAUCAGUUAAUUGGCAAAGAAAAGUCAAAUAAGACAAAGUUAGAUAUUUUUUCUCAAACAUCAGUUAAUUGGCAAAGAAAAGUCAAAUAAGACAAAGUUAGAUAUUAUUAUUGUCAUUGAUUUCACUCAUAAUAUUAUUAGUAUAGAAAGCAGAAUGAGGUAUACCAGUCGUAUAAAAAAAUAGUCUGGUAAGAAAAAUAGAGCGUUAGCGAUCAUCUGUUAUCGGAACUAGCAAUAUGGAUCCUAACUCAUUAGCUCUUAAGCUAGCCAACUUGUAUAGGUGUUUCAGUACUAAUUCCCAUUUGAGAGAGAAUUUAAACUUGUUUGUUGAAUUAAUCCAACACAUUGACGCUGAAGCAAUAGUCCAUUGCAUUGAUAUAUUACACCCUAUGUUCCUAAACACGUUGAAUGAUUCCCUGGUUAAUCUAGACGUGAAGAUCACUGCCCUGACGGCGAUGAGUAACUUCAUUCAACAGGUGGGGAGUUCAAAAGAUAGGGAGAGGUUUCAGGAUCUGUUGCCUGCGAUGAUGGACAUGCUGAAUAAGGCAUUGGAAGAAAAUUGGGAGGCAUCAGCUCAGUCUGAGUUGGAGAUUUUGAUUGAGUUGGCCAAGAAUGAGCCUAGUUUCUUCAGGGUGCAGCUUGUGGUUGUGGUGGGUUCCAUGUUUGAUAUAGCUGAAUGUGAGAGUUAUGAAAAGAAAACGAGACAUUUGGCGGUUGAAUUCGUGAUGACAUUGGUUGAGGCCAGGGAGAAGACCCCUGGCAUGAUCAAGAAGUAUCCAUUGUUUACUGAAAAAUAUAUUGCAAUUUUAUUGAAUUUGUUAGAGCAUGAGGUUUAUUACCCUCUCUUGCCUGAUCCUUAUGAUAGAUGGGAUAUAAAUGAUGAUUUGCCUUUUCUUAAGAAGUGUUUAUGGCGGUUGUCCCAUGCGCUGGGUGGUAAGACUGUUGGUCCUGUUGCCUUUGAGCAGGUCCGUGCUUACUUGGCUGACGACUCGUGGCAGAAGCCAUGCGCAGCACUCUAUGCACUUGCUCAGAUUGUUGAAGGCUGCUCAGAGGUGUGUAUUUAUUGAUACACUACUAAGAAUUGCAUUUAAACUGAUUAGUUAACGAUCUUGGGAUAGCAGAAGGUCACCUUGAUUAUACUUUCUUCUGUUAUUCUCUAGACUAAGUACUUUGCUUGCUCUCAUCUCUUCUUCAUUAUAAUAGGUGAUGAUUAAGAAUAUGAAUCUAGUGGUGACAAUGGUUCUGGAUUGUAUGGGACAUCCUCAUCCUGGAGUCAGAUUCACCUCCAUGGAAGCAGUUCGCGAGUUUUUGAGUUUCAUGUGUCCCCAUUUUCAAGAACAAUAUCAUCAGCAAGUAGUGCCGGCAUUAAUUAAAGCUAUGGAUGAUGACAGUGUACAAGUGCAGGUCUGUUUGUCCUACGAUGAUAUGAAUUCCUUUGGAUGCUAGUAUCAUUUGUCCCAAAUUACAGUUGCAAAAUUUUCUUACUGAACCUUCUCAAUGGCCUUAACUUUAACUUUAUUAGAUAUAAUCCCUGCUCUAACUUUACUAUCUUCAUAUUUUCCUAGGUCAGCGUCAUAUGCGCGGUCACGGGCUUCCUUCGCGAUGACACACCUAAAUAUUUGACACUUUACAUCCAUGGAUUACUCGAUAAAUUGUUUCAACUGUCAUUACAUACUGUUGCGCUAGUACGUAUUGUAGACUAAGUGCAAGAGAAAUCAGAUCAUUUUCUUGAACAAUGAACAGACAAUAUUACGAAUACAUCAAGGGAAACAACCAUAAUUUCCAAGUUCCCAAUAUAAUUAUCCCGCCCUCCUUUAUAAAUUCAAAGUUUGUUACUCCCUUGAAUGUCCUUGAGGUCUUUACUUGCCUGAUUUAUUUUUAUUUUUGACAUGAAAGGUCCAAGAAUCAGCGUCAGCUGUACUCCAAUUUUUGGCUGACCAUUUUAAGGUAUUACCUAGUAAUUCUGCUUCAACUUUUAUUAAGAGUAUGUUGUAUUAAGCUGGUUAUAUAUAUAUAUAUAUAUAUAUUAAUAUUAACAUUACUUCAGCAAGAGUGCUAUGGGAACAACUACGAAUCUAUUCUACCACUUUUUAAAGCUAUCCUGGUACAAGCAAAUUUUCCAAGUAAAGAUGUAGAGAUGAUGAUGUCAUUCCUCAAACCUGGCCGUUCGUUACUUCCAAAACAGGUCUUCCACUAGUUAUACCAAAUGGAUUCUAUACAUCUCACUCAACUUAGAGCUUAUUGUUUAUUCGUUUUCUAUUUUUCUGUUGUUGACAUAAUGUCACUAUAAGAUUAUGGAAGCAGUUAUGUCAUUACAAGGAUCACAAGAGUUUGAUGAGGAUACAAAUACCAUCUUCAAGCUAGAGGUAUGUGUUGUUGAGAAUAUCGUUAACUAAUAAAAUGGUGUUCUCUCUAAUAGCUUAAGCUUUUAGAUGAGAUGGUCACACACUUCAACAUGUUAUCAGAACAGGCAGAGGCCCUGGGAUCAAAUCUCUUCGCCACCCAAAUUAAAAAGAAUUUCCACGUGCUAAUCAGUCAGAAAUUCUUUCAAGAUUGGUCUCUCUAUAUUUCUUGAUCUCAUUGCAGGCUAUUGGUGGAUUUUGUAAGGCCAUAGGGAAAGGUUUUCUUCCUUGCACCAGCAUUGUCAUGCCCCUUUUGUUGCAAUGUGCUCAACUCGAACCUGAUAAAAUCAUAUUAUCUCCAGAUUCAGACCAUACUUGUUUAGAUGAUAAUACGUACGCCUUUUUGUCAUGACGUUUCGCCUUUUUGUCAGAUCAUUGCUCUGAGUGAUUGCCUUUUUAUGUACAUUAUAACAUCUUGCAGUAUACACAGAGUCAAGGUUGGCGAUUCAACGAUAUGUAUAAAAAAAAGUUCCCUAAAGAAGAAAGCUAAAGCAUGUGAAGUCCUAGUCAUUGUUGCUAACAAAUUGAACAAAGACUUUUACCCAUGGAUUUUCCAGGUUGUCACACUUGGACUUCUCUCUUUUUCUACCCGUGCUUUUGAUCGCGAACUGAAAAUUUAACAAGUGGUUUCAAUGGCCUAAUGCUUGAUAAAUGAUACAGACUGCUUCAAUUUUAUUUCCACUUUUGAAAUUCCAUUUCAAUGAGGUCAGGUUCCAUACAGUUGAAGGUGAGAUUUCUCAGGAUUUCACAUAGUUAAUUUCUCCGUCUUUUAUAACUAUCUGAUCACCGCCAAGACUUUUUAAUUUGUAAUGUUUAUAGCGAUGAAGCACCUUUUGCAAUCUGCUAAACUGGCUGAUGAGAAAGGGAUUGCUCGAGGUGAAAGCCAUUCGGAUUUCAAGCAGUUUUCGGACAGUAUAAUACUGAAUUUGGUGGAAGCUUUGCAUGAGGUUUACUUUUAACAUUAAGCUUCUUCUAUUUGGAUAAUGAGAAAGUAACACUUUGAUUUCUAUAUAAUGCAGGAGCCUAAAACACUGCUUAUUUGUUUUGAAACAGAGAUAUAUGUAGAAAUGUUGAAUACAUUACAUGUGUGCCUUCAGGUUCGUGAUCUUUAAACACUGCUUAUUUGUUUUGAUCCAAAGUUUUCAGUGUUUCACUAUGAGCUAGGUAUGAAGUUUUUGGAACUGUUGCCUUUAAGUCUAUUGCUUAAAAUGUUCCAUUAGUAUCAUCGAAGUGAGAAACUAGCAAUGGUGACAAAAAUCGAGUUAGAAUGGCAAAAUAGGAAUUUUCAGGUUGUAUAUGGUCCUUGUGUUUCUUCUUUCAGAUAUGUGGACCACUUCUCAAUGAAGAUCAGCUUCGUCCGAUCGUGGAUGAGAUAAAGCAUGUCAUUACAGAGAGUUCAAAUAGCCAAGGAAAACUCACAGAGAGAGAAAAAACAGAAGAUUUUGAUGCUGAGGAAGCUGAAUUGCUGAGAGGGGAAAAACAUCGACAAGAUCAAAUAUUUAAACUUGUAUGUUCUAUAUUAAAACAGUGAUUCACUGUUGUCUUUAUAUAUUCAAGAAUUUUCACUUUGGUUCUGCUGUUAUUCUUGAACACAGGCUGGUCUCAUAUUAUGUAGACUGAUCGAAACAUUCAAGGUUGUUUUCUUGCCUUACUUUGACGAGUUAUCAUUAUAUCUGAUUCCGAUGUGGGUAAGUUCAUUGACACUAUUGUAACAUGAUGUUAGUUUAUCAUUAUUCAUAUCUAGUAUAUCUUAUUGUUUCCGAUUUUUGUUAAGGACAAAGAAAUGACAAUUCAAGAGAGAUGUACAUCACUUUAUAUCUUUGAUGGUCUUGUGAAGCAUUGCUCUGAAGCAGCUCUAAAGUGAGUUUAAUUUAUCUGUAUGAGUUUUCUUAAAUUAUUGGGGUGUCACCAUUUUGAUAAAUCACUUACUUCCUAUGCCAACUAGGUACUGUGAUGUAUUUCUACCUUUGCUUCUGAAAUCAAGCAACGACGAAAACCCAGCAGUUAGACAGGUUUGGAUCAUCGUGAUUGCUUACAUUCCUGUUACUCAAGUUGGUUGCUCACAGUAUGGUUUAACCAAAACACCAAUGACUUCAUGUUCAGAAUGCUCUAUAUGGACUUGGGCUUUAUGCAGAAUAUCAUGGUUCUGUUUUCAAACCUUUUGUUAGAGGUAUUAAUAUUAUUGAAUGUGAUACUUCUAAUCAAGCAAGUGUUUUUGUUAACUUACGCGUUUAUGUUCAGAGGCUAUGUCACGGAUCAAUGUAGUGAUAAUGCAUUUACGUGCUCGUGAACCUGAGAAUGAACUUGCAUAUGAUAAUGCUGUUUCUACCCUUGGUAAAAUAUUUCAGUUUCAUCGAGAACUUAUCGACUCAGCCCAGGUUUGUCCUUCUCAGAAUCCCUAAUGUUAAGUCUUGUUAUAAUUUCUGAUUCUGAAUCCUUGUGUAGGUCAUUCCCAUUUGGUUGAAUUGCCUGCCUAUAAAAGGUGACCUUCCUGAAGCCAAAUAUGUUCAUGGUCAACUAUGUUCCAUGGUUGAAAGGUAUUGGAUUUGUUUGCAAACUCUAAUAUGUCAUAUCUUCAUAGUCUUUAAAAUGUUUUAUAUCAAAUUUUUUCACUUGCAGGUCAGACAGAGAACUUUUAGGUCCCAAAUAUGAACACUUUCCAAAAAUUAUGUCAGUUUUUGCAGAGGUUAGUUCCAUAUCAGACUCUACAGAUGCCAGUUUGAGUUGUUCAUUUGUUCCUGAUAGAUAUUUAAGGAGAGAAGUAUUGGAAAUAUUCCUAAACUAGGUGUGAAUUAUUAGUUUUAUCUUCGAACUAUUGACAACCUUAAAAACACUUAUUUACUUGACUAACACCCAUGAUCUUGCAAUAUGAGUGAAAUACACUCCUAAAUUCUCUCAAGUUUAUGGGUGCUUUGAACACUUCUCUCGACUUUUUAUUAAGAGUUUCAUGUCUUUACAAGAGUGUAUGCAAUGUGGCAGAUCAGAUAUGUAUCUAAGUUUAAGCUAGUCAAGUAGAUGGGUGUUUUUAAAACUGUCACUAAUUUGGAGACGAAACUAAUAAUUUGUGCCAAGUUUAAGGAUGUUUUCAACACUUGUCUCGUAUUUAAUCAAUCAUGAGACAUUUUUGGACCAAACUAUUGACCUAAAGAUAUUUUUAUUCGAUGUUGUAUAGUUAAUUUAGUUUUGCUUUUUAAGGUUUUACGUGGUGGAAAACAUCUUGCUACAGAAGAAACAGCAAAGUGUAUGAUUAAUCUGUUGAGGAAACUUGAGAAAGAAGUAGCACCAGACACCUUGAUAUCUGCAUGGUCAUUACUAUUGCCUAAGCAGGAGAUGGAACUGAAAUCCAUUCUAUUUCCUGGCAUACUUAUAAACCACAAAACAUUUUUUGUGCUUGGCAGUAAUUUCUCAAUUGUCAAAUUUCUUGAGGAAGAACUCCAGAAAAAUAUUACUAAUGUUCGACGAAUGUGACUUAUAAACCGUGUAUUGUAUCUUUAAUUUAGUUUUGUUACAGAAUAAUGUAUAGAUGAUACUAUAGUUGAUUUGUGGGAAUUUGAAUAUUUAAUUACCAUAAUUAGACUAUUCUCACUUAUUUAUAUCUUUGUAUUCUUUGAGUAGUACUCCCUCCAUUUCUAUUUAUAUGUCGUCCUUUUCUAAGGAUAGAUAAUAUUUAAUAUUUGACAUUUCACAAAACCAAUACAUAAAUAAAACGAUUCUUUCUAUUUUUACCUUUAAAAGCUAUUAGCCUUGAAAGUAUGAAUUUGACCAAUAUAGGAAAACUAAAUGAUUAGAUCAUUUUCAUUGAUCAAUUUAAUUAAUCAAAAUAAAUUAAUUUAUAUUCAUUUGUUGAAACUUGACUUCAAGAGAUCACUAAAUAAGGAUACACCAGUCAAUUCACCUAGACGUGAAAUCUAAAAUUGUGGCAUAUAAAUAGAAGUGAGGGGGUAGAUAAGAAAUUUUAUGUAACUUCUCUUGUUUUCGUGGUAUCAGAGCCUAAGGGCUCAAAUCUUUAGAUUCUCUAAAACAAAAUUUCAAUAAGGGGUCUACAGUAUAAAUAAAAUUUUAAUAUUCAAACAUUUCAAUAUUAUUUAAAUUAAUUUACCUUAGAGAUUGACAUAAUUCGAAAACCAAAUACCGAAUAAAUAAUUCAUAAAACUGAAAUUAUCAUCGCCGGACCAGUGACCACUAGUACCUCCAAACAACUCAAAAACAAACUACCACCCGAUCACACCAAAUCGGUCGUUACAUGAAAUGAGACAUUUCAUGGUAACGAUGGAUCUAAAUGAUACAAUACAAUAAAAUUUAAGUAACAAUCAACAUAAGUAUUGUAUUUAAACUAACUAUACAAUAUAAUGGGUAACAACCAUCCAAACAAGGUGUUAAUGUAAAAGCAUACAGAAUAUCAUAUAAUAAAGUUCAUAUAUCAAUGCAAUGGAUCCAUUGAAAGAAAGUAUUUUGAAGUACACACAAAACUCAAAAACAAGAAAAUUAUCCAUCUAGAUGGAUAUGAUUAUGCAUAAUGAACAGAGGAAACAGCUUAAGAGAAAAACUGGUCCAUUAGAUCCCCUCUUUCAAUCGCGAUCUUCUAUUUCUGCACAGCAAAGAAACACUUCUCAAAUAUAUUUUACGAAAGAUUUAACAGGUAAAAGUGUACAAGCUCAAAAUAUGAUGCAAUUAAUCUUGAGUCAGUUACCUGUUAAACCAGUGUUGCAGUUUUUUAUAUGCAAGGGGUAAAUAAGGACCUUGAGCUCUGCAUUUCCAUAUUCUUCUUGCACUUCUUGAAUGUCCUUGACUGACUUUUCAAGAGACUCACCACAUCGUUUCACUUCAACUAUCUUUAGAGUAGGAAUAUCUCCAAUCAUAGAAGGAAUUUCUUGAAGAUUAAAGCAGUUUUCUACCAGAAGCUGUUUGAGGUUAAGCAAGGACUCAUUUGAGGCAUUCCAUGUUGUUAUUUUAAGGGAACUUAAUUUAAGAACCUUGAGGUUCAGAAACUCUUCAUCUUCGAUCUCCCAUUUGUCCUGCUGAAAUGCUCUAUGUUCCAACUUGAGAACCACUAAAUUUGGUAAUCUUCCGAUAUUAGACAGUUCACUUUGUGGCAACAAAACAUCUGAUAGAGUUAGCUUUGUUAGUGUCGCGGGCAAGGUGAAAUUCAAAAUCUUACCAUUUACACUGAGUGUUUCAAGUUGAAGAGCAUCUAAUUUGAGUUUGAGAGGCUCUUUACAGUGGCAUUUGAGCUUUCGCAGUCUGCUUGCCUUCUUGACCAUGUAGUCUACUAGCUCAUUAGUGAGAGACACUGUGGCCAAAGUCUCUAUGUUUGUCGAUGUCUGAGGAAUGCGUCCAUCAAAAGAUGCAACAGGUUCAACAUGUACAUGCUUUAGCCUUGGCAUAUUCCAGAUGGUCAUCGGUAAAAUUGUGCCACUGCCUACUGUUAUUACAAGCAAUACCUCUAGGUUUGAAAGGUUCGAUAUCCAUAAUGGCAUAGAUACCAUAUAGCCUUUGAUUCCUAAGUACUUCAAAUGGAUCAGCUCUUUUGAUCUCUGGAAUGAACUGUCUGACAUAGGACAUUCCAUUUGUAGUACUUUUAAUAGUUUAAAGUUCUCGAGAUCAAGAAAUUCCUGGCAGCCAGAUUUCGGGGGUCUGAAGAAUGCAGAUCGAACUUGCAUGUUUCCAAUCUUCCCUGCCCAAUAAAGGCUAUGAUGAAUGCAAAGCCUCCGGUGCUCAUAAAAGGAACUAGACAAAUCAGUCUUCCCGGUGCUUGUUAGUUGCAUAAACUUCUCUUCCUUAGACUUUGUCAUGCAAAAAUCAUGUAACAUAUCAUGAAUGUGGCAUGUUCUGACUCCUCCAGUGGACUUUCUCUUGCUCACCAUUAUCAAGCUUCUACCAAUGAGAUCAUUCAGUAAACUUUCUACAGCAAGGUGUAUACUUUCUACCUCUAUGUUUGGCACCAAUCCCUCAAUAGUCCAUAACCACUCCAAGUUCGAGAGUGGAAUUUCUUCAUCCUUUUGAAAUGAUGCAAAAUAUAGAAGGCAGGGUUUGAGAUGAUCAGGCAAGUGCUUGUAGCUCAGUUCUAUAACCUCCAUGCACUCUUUUGCACUAGUAACAGUAUCUAACUUUAUACUUUCUGCGAUUCUUCUCUAAUUUUCCUCAUUUUUGCUUAUCCCAGACAAAACUCCAGCAACCAAAAUCACAAGGAGAGGUAGUCCUUUACACUUACUCGCGAUGUUUGCUCCACUUUUGAUAGGUCUGGUGGGCAAGUUUGUUCCUUGAACAGCUUGAUUCUCAUUAGUUCCCAACUUUCAUUUUCGUCAAGGAAACGAAGGUGAAGAGGUUCUCUAUCAGGGUUAAUUUCUGAAGCCACAUCGCUGAGUCUGCUAGUUAAUAAAAUCCUGCUUCCGUUAUUAUCAUCCGGGAAGCAUCCUCUCAAGUCAUCCCAUGUGUCAACACUCCAAAUGUCAUCAAUGUAGAGAAGGUACCUCUUCUUUUUUAAGAAUUUCUGCAAAGCAUCUGCUGGAUUUGACUCAUUCUGUUGAUUGGAACUUUUAACUUGAUUCAAAAUUUCAAGCAGCAACUUUCUCCUGUCAUAAGCUUGGGAAACACAACACUUAGCUUUGACAUCGAAAUGACGCCGCAUUUUCUCAUCAUGAAAAACUUUCUUUGCUAGUGUAGUUUUUCCAAGACCAGGCAUCCCUACGAUAGACACAACAUCCAAGUACUUUGGUCCUCUAGUGAGCCAGUUGAUUAGCAAGUCAAUCUCGUCCUUAAAACCCACCAUUACCUCAUCAAGUUGUGUAGUCUCAACUACUUGUCUGACAGGAUUUGGUGUUUGUUCUUCAAUAGGGACUUCAACUUCUCGCGUAAUCGUAGCAUGGAACUCUUUCAAAUGAUUCCUUACAACCUUAGUUUCUGUUGUGAUCUUACAUAACAAAUGUAGAUACCAAACAGGAUAAUCUCCGGUAACCAGGCAAUCAAUUAUGCAUUCUGCCUGGUAUGCUAGAGAUAUGACUUCUGUCCAUAGAUCAUGUUUCUUCACCUCCUCAAACUCAUGUUUUUUCUUCUCAACUUCCUUCAAGAAGUCUCGUACGAGACAUAACUCUUCCUGAGCUUCUUCAAUAAGAUGCUUGACAACAGAAUCACACUUUCCGUCUUGCAGCAGCUCUUCCAGAUAGCGUAAGAGGGAAUCGAUAAACCCCAAUCCAUUUGUCCUAGGAAAAUUACAUUUUGAUGACACUACAUCUUUCAGAAUCACAUCUUUUAGAUCUUCCAUGACAUGUUCAAUCUUUUUAACAAGUCACUGAAUACCGAGUUAACUUCUGCUGCUUUGUCAACGGAGAAAGAGAAAGCAGCAGAUACUACCUCAGCAAUCAGACCUUCAAUGCAAGUAAGUUUGUCACUCAUUUUUUCCUGGAUAACAUAUAAAUCUUCUGGUGGACAAAUGAGCAAAGUUACCAAUUGCUUUGAUGCUUCGGCAAGGCUUUUGAUUUGAUCCUUUUUAAGAGGAAGCAUCAAAGAACAUGCCUCACCGUCUGAUAACUCCAACAAAUCCUUGAAGAUGAAAUGAACAAAACCUUCAACAAAUUCUAUCACAUCCCGGCUGUAUUGGAUUUGCAAUUUAACUGAACCUCUUAGAGCUCCAGUAUAGAUUUCUGCAAUGUGCGGAUCAAUGGGCUUGAUAUCUUUCAAAACAUGAGAGAUUUGNNNNNNNNNNNNNNNNNNNNNNNNNNNNNNNNNNNNNNNNNNNNNNNNNNNNNNNNNNNNNNNNNNNNNNNNNNNNNNNNNNNNNNNNNNNNNNNNNNNNNNNNNNNNNNNNNNNNNNNNNNNNNNNNNNNNNNNNNNNNNNNNNNNNNNNNNNNNNNNNNNNNNNNNNNNNNNNNNNNNNNNNNNNNNNNNNNNNNNNNNNNNNNNNNNNNNNNNNNNNNNNNNNNNNNNNNNNNNNNNNNNNNNNNNNNNNNNNNNNNNNNNNNNNNNNNNNNNNNNNNNNNNNNNNNNNNNNNNNNNNNNNNNNNNNNNNNNNNNNNNNNNNNNNNNNNNUGGGCUGCAUAAAUUUGGUAAAGGCCACCUCCCUGGAACCAAUGAAAGGAGAAACUCAUAACCUUCUUUGACUUCAGCAGAAGAUAAGUCUGCCCUUGGUCCCGAGACAGUGUCACCGACUUGCAUUCCAUGUCUGCACAAUCUCCCCUCCUUAAUCCUUCCUUUUUCAUUUGCCCAAUACAAGAAAGUACCAAAAAAUCUCCUCUCUAUUUCAGACAUUUGUUUUCCAGCAGAAUUUCCUCAGAGUGGAUAUAUGUCGACAGCUCUGCAAGCAAAGAGAUUAAAAGCAAAUCACAUUCUAGGACAAACAAUGCAUACUCCAACUCUACACCAGCAAAACUCUGGUACCAUAAUCUAGCUGCUCUUCAUAUUGCGUCAAAUCCGGUGUAUCAUGAAAAAACUAAACAUAUUGAGGUUGAUUGCCAUUUUAUUCGCGAGAAGAUUCCGGAAAACAUGAUUUCCACUGGCUACGUGAAGAGAGGAGGGCAACUAGCUGAUUCUGUUCACAAAAAUGUUGAAUGGAACUCGAGUUGAUUAUCUUUGUAACAAGCUACUAUAAAGCUAUAUGUUUUCUUGUAUAUAAUAUUCUAGCUGAUUUCUAGGGAUUCAGAUAUCUAGUUACCUUAGUUAGCCUUUUCUUUACGUGUACUUAAAUCAGUGUAUUCUUUGGAUAAUAUACAAAUACAAGCUAUACUCUUAAACUUCAUUCUUUGAUAUAUAACAAUAGCUGAUUGCAUUAUGUCUGCAUUCAAAAUUAUGUAGCAAAAGAUGCAAGAAUUAAUACAAAUUAAGUUUGUUAUAAAAGUCUAUCACAUACCUUUUUAACAACUUUGGCAGAGCAGAAAGCAGUGAUCUAGGGUUCAUCAAUUUGUUCCACAAUUUUAACCAAAAACAACUAAAGUGGACUUGCUUUUAUAUGUGUGUUAAUCAUGGAAUACUUUUGAGAUUACUUAAUAUAAAGUAUAAUGAAACUAAAAAUUACAGAUAAAUGAAGACUAUAAAAUGAUGCAGCUUGAUUGUUUCAUUCUGGCCACUGGUAAUGGAUAAGAAAUGAUUUGUUUUCCUCUGUUUCAAUUUGUUUGGCCUAUUUUGAUAUGACGUGAAGUUGUAGAAAGUGAAAAAGACUUUUGAAUCUUAUGGUCUUAAACAUGUCGUGUGGAAAGUUGAAGUUAAAGAGUCGCUAAAAAAAGAAAGGGUCGUUCUUUUUUAAACAGACUAAAAAAAAAAAAGUAGGUUAAACAUAUUAAAACGGAGGAAGUAAUUGAAAGUCUGAACCUACUAAAAAGAAAAGUAGGUCAUGAGUCGGUAUCAUAUUAAUUAGAUCAUUGAAAUAUCUCAUGAUUUACGGAAGAAAGUCCUCAUUUGCUGCUACCAAUUUCACCACUUUGUCAAACAUCAUUUAAUUGGCAAAGAAAAGUCAAAUAAGACAUUUGCAAGUUAGAUAUUAUUCUUGUCAUUGAUUUCACUCAUGAAAUUAUUCGUGUUAGAAAGCAGAAUGAGGUAUACCAUAUAGACUGUAUAAAAAAAUAGUCUGAUAAAAAAAAUAGAGCGUUAGCGAUCAUCUCUUAUCGGAAAAGGUCGGAAUCUAAGUCAAUGAUGAAGCAGAAGGAUCCUAACUCAUUAGCUCUUAAGCUAGCCAAGUCUCUUGGCUCUGAUCAGCUAGCUGCUGCACUUCAUCCUGACAACAAUUGGCCUAAAUUAUUACUCCCUCCGUCCCAUUUUAUGUGGCAACAUUUGACCGGGCACGGAGUUUAAUAAAUAGAUAAAGACUUUGAAAUGUUUAUCAAAUUGCCCUUCAAAAAAAUAGAUAUAUUUUUCUCUCUCCUAAUAAAUGUAUUGGAGUACUCUUUUCAAGAUUAAGUGGGACCAACAAGGGUAAAAGAGAAAUUAUACCUUUAAAUACUUACCAAAUAAGGAAAUGUGACAUUCUUUUUGAGACUGACCAAAAAGGAAAUGUUGCCACAUAAAAUGGGACGGAGGGAGUACCAAUCUUUUAUAGGUGUUUCAGUACUCACUACAAGAAAAUGUACAUACGACAUUAAUUUAGUGACAUUUGAAAUAAAUGUUGGAAAAUAAAGAAUUUUACGAUAUUUAGGAACAAAAUGUCAUAAAACAAUGACAUUUGAUGUCAAAUGUCGUAAAAAUAAUGACAUUUGGUAUCAAAUAUCAUAAAAAUAAUAACAUUUGGUCCAAAAUGUACUAUGAUAAUGACAUUUAUUGCAAAAUAUCGUUGUUUUUAGCGACAUUUAGCAAAAAUGUCAUUUAAAUGAUGACAUUUGCUACAAAUGUCGAAUAUAAUAUGACAUUUAUUACAAAAUGUCAUUGGUUUUAGUGACAUUUAGAAAAAAUAUCGCUUAAAUAGUGACAUUUAAUAUAAAUGUCGAAUAUAUUAUGACAUUUACUGCAAAAGGUCAUUGAUUUUUAGUGACAUUUAGAAAAAAUGUCACUAAAAUAGUGACAUUUGUUGUAAAAUGUCAUUGAUUUUAGCGACUUUUAGCAAAAGUGUUGCUAAAGAAGCGACAUUUAAUACAAAUGUUGAAUAUAUUACACUAGUAGAAUUUCGUUUGCAAAAUUGUUGCUAAAAUAGUGACAUUUCAUACAAUUAUCGAAUAUAUUAUGACAUUUAUUGCAAAAUGUCAUUGAUUCGAUCGACAUAUAGUGAAAAUUUCGCUAAAACAGUGACAUUUUUAUACAAAUAUCGAAUAUAUUAUGUCAUAUGUUGAAAAAUGUCAUUGAUUUUUAUGACAUAUGAUGAAAAGUACUGUUAAACGACUACAACAUUUUAUGUCUACAACCACCCUAGAAAAGUGUAGCCUUUGAUAAAAGGCCACACUUUUUGACUUUAAGCCACGCUUUUCCAGGGGUGGCCGAAAGAAGCAUAACCUUAGAGUUUAGGCGACACUUUUCAAGUGUUGCCUUAACAGCUACGCUUAAAAGCAUAGCCUAAAAGGCAGAAAGGCCACGCUUUGCAGUACCUCAUAUAGCUUAACAUUUCUAUCUCAUACAACUACACUUUCAAGGGUGGCCUUUGCUUCCUUAUUGCCCACGAUUUUAAAGUGUUGCCUUUUCUAUCUUAUGUAUGACAACACUUUGAAGUGUAGUCCUUGCUCAUGUGCAUACCACAAUUUACAGUUAUUUGGCUGCACUUUUAAGUAUGGUAAUAUUAUUUUUACUAUAAAAUAUUUAUAUGCCACAAUUUCUAAUUAAAAAACAUCAAUAUUAUUUUGCAAUAAAUAAUCUCAAACACUAAAUUAGCUAAUAAGUAAUUCAAAUAUAUAGAUUUGUAAUAAACUUCAAAAGAUAGUAUGUCUUGUGUACAUACACAUACUUGUUUGACAGAGAAUUUAAACUAGUUUGUUGAAUUAAUCCAACACAUUGACACUGAAGCAAUAGUCCAUUACAUUGAUAUAUUACACCCUAUAUUCCUAAACACGUUGAAUGGUUCCCUGUAUCUAGACGUGAAAAUAUCCAUUAUGAUGUAUUCAAAUUGUCUCAUUGAACUAACUACAUAUCUGAAGCUGUCUCACUGCCAGCAAAAUGUGUACCUUGUACUCUUUGCUUCAAGUAGUAUGAACCAUGUCUAUUUGACCCUAUAAGUAAUAUGAACUAUGUCUAUUUGUAUAAUUUUCACUCGAACCCUAAAGUACUUAGGUCCAAUAAACACAUUCAUCCUAUGUGGUGUCCUGUAUGAUAAUUUUGUGUCCUAUGUGACGUCCUACAUGUAUUAUGUUGUAGGACGUAUGAGUCAACUUGUUCAAUUUUAUACAAGUUGAAGUGUCUAUUUGUGCAUGCCAAAAAUUGAAGGACAUAUAUGUCAGAUGAAUUCAAAUUUAAAAACAUAUUUAUGUAUUAUGUCAAAUAUUAAUCUAAAGACAUCACAAAUAUGGCCGUGUAAGAUGGUAAUCGAUCCGUUAUACCAACACCAAAUGAACAGAAGGACAAAUUUAGAUGUGCAUGAAAUACUUUUAAUUAAUGGUGAAAGAUAUAUACAAGUGAGUAAGCAUACAUGUGAUCUACACUCUAACCAAAAAGAGCAAUUAUUUUUUGUUGUUGUCAAAAUUAAUCCUCCAAUAAUUCCUUUCAUCUUCAAAAAUUACUUUCACUUUGCAAUUUUUUUCUUGUCUUCAAAGCAUACUGCUUAAAAAUAUAGAGAGAAGAGCUAGUAUUGAUCACUUUGCUAUAGUCUGUCUAUAGUUUCUUUCAAUUGAGUACUAAACAAUGACUAAAUGUUCUUCUCUUCAUUUUUAAUUGCACUUAAUAGGUACUAUUUCCUAAUUAUUUGGCCACAUUUCCUUUUUUAAUUAUCCCUAAUUAUUUGUUCAUUUUGAUAAAUCAAGAAAUGACAAUUUUUUACCUAUUAUACCCUCAAUUAAUUACAUUGAAAAAUGUAGAACUUUUUGAAAAUCUUAAGUUUUUAUUCAUCAACUUCAUAAUUAAUAAGGGUAAAAUGGUAAACUCACUAUAUCAAUUAUUGUUUUCGUAAUAGACGUGUCAAUUCAAAAGUGGACAAGUAAUUAGGAACAUAGUACUCCUUCCGUCCGAAUUUAGUUGUCCAUAUUUCUUCUUUUAGUUGUCCCUAUUUAGUUGUCCAUUUUGACAAAUCAAAAAAGGAUAACAAAUUUUUUCCUAUUAUACCCUUAUUUAAAUGAAGUUGUCAUAAAUAAAGUAAAUAAACUUAUGAACUUCCCAACAUUGAUUAGUUAUCUUGAGUGAAUUUAUUUUGAAAUUGUAAAUUGUACUAUAAGGGUAAAAUUGUAACUUCACUAUGCUAAUCAUUGUUGCCUUAAUCUGUGUGUCAUUUCUAAAGUGGACAACUAAAUAGGGACGAGUAAUAAACGAUGACCAAGAAAGAAUAAUUAAUUAUUUUUCUUGUUUUUUCCUCUAAUGGAGGACAGAUGGAAGAUUAAUAAAAUAUUAUUUAUCUUCUUAAAGUUUAGAGGCCCACUUAAUAAUUGCUACAAAACAAAGAUGCUAAUCAGCUAAAGGAUAUAUUGUAGAAUAAUAAUUUAUACUCCCUUUGUUCGCUUUUAUUUGUCCUAAUUUUACUUGACACACCCAUUAAAAAAAUAAUUAUUAAUAUAGGUAUUUUAUUAAAUUGUCCCUAUUAAACGAUGUUUAGUAUUAAGUAUUGGAAAGUGACUUGGAAAUAGAGUAUUUAAUAUUGAGGGUAAAAUAUGGAAAAAUAUAAUUGUCUUUUUAUGAUAUGUCAAAAGUAACAAAUAAAAUGAAAAUUUAUUUUAGGAAUAAGUGAAAGUGAACGAGAGUAUUAAUUUUAUCUACCCGAGUUAAGAGGUUCAAAUCAAUGAUUUCUUUAUCUUGUCUUUUUAGCAUUGCAAUUAGGGGUGUAUAAAAUCGAACCGAAAAUCGAAUCAAGCCGUAAAUCAAAAAAAAAACCUGACUAGUGGUUUGGUUUGACUUGGUUUGGUAUUGGAAAAAAAAAUCCGACUAUAUUUGGGUUGGGUUGGGUUGGUUUUAACUUAAAAAAAACCAACCCGAGACCAAACCAACCCGACAUUAUAUAUGUAAUUUUAAAAUUUUAUUUUAUACAUAAAAAUAUUUACUUUGAUAUAAUUUUAAAAUAUUUCUUAUACUAUUUCAUAGUUUUUAUCUUUUAAUAUAUUAUUUCAAGUUUAAAACUUAGAAUUCGGAAUGGUCCAAUAAAGAUUAUAGUUCAUAGAUGUUGAUAAUUAUAAUUAAAUUUAAAUCAAAAUCAAAUUAAUACUAAUGCAAAAAGAAAAUCAAUUCAACACUAAGAAUGACAAUAAUAUUGAAUAUUUGUUCUUUAGUUUUACAUUGGUUUAGACAAUUAAAAUACAUAAUCUAAUUUUAAUUUUCCUUAAAUAUUUAGUAAUGUAACUAAUACUUAUUAAACUUAUUUUAGCAUGAUUUAGUACUUUUAAAUUAUGAUCAUUUUCAUUAUGACUUUGCAAUAUUUAUUUUAUAUAAUGAUUUCAUUAUUAUUUAUUAUUGAAUAUUUUUGUUCACCAGUACUCAUCUCAUAUUUUGUGUUAUUUUUUUUUUAAGAAAUACCUUAGAUAAUUGUAUUUUGGUUGGACUAAAGAAAUAUUUGGAGCACAAGUUAAUUAUGAAAUAUGUCUAUUUGUAUAACAGAUGAAUGAAGAAUAUAAAAUGAUGCAACUUCAUUGUUUCAUUAUGGCCACUGGUAAUGGCUAAGAAAUGAUUUUUUCCCCCUUUGUUUCAAUUUGUUUGACCUACUUUGACUUGACAUGAAAUUUAAGAAAAUAAAAAAGAUUUUUAAAUCUUGUGGUCUUAAACAUGUCGUGUGAAAAGUUGAAGUUAAAGAGUUGCUAAAAAAAGAUAGGGUCAUUCUUUUUUAAACAGAUUAAAAAGAAAAGUAAGUCAAAUAAAUUAAACGGAGGAAGUAAUUGAAAGUCUAAACCUACUAAAAAGAAAAUUAGGUCAAGAGUCGGUGUCAUACUAAUUAGAUCAUUGAAAUAUCUCAUGAUUUACAGAAGAAAGUCCUCAUUUGCUGCUACCAAUUUCACCACUUUGUCAAACAUCAUUUAAUUGGCAAAGAAAAGUCAAAUAAGACAAAGUUAAACAUUAUUCUUGUCAUUGAUUUCACUCAUGAUAUUAUUCGUAUUAGAAAGCAGAAUGAUGUAUAUCAUAGGCUGUAUAAAAAAUAGUUUGGUAAGAAAAAUAGAUUUUUAGCGAUCAUCUGUUAUCGGAACUAGCAAUAUGGAUCCUAACUCAUUAGCUCUUAAGCUAGCCAACUUGUAUAGGUGUUUCAGUACUAAUUCCCAUUUGACAGAGAAUUUAAACUUGUUUGUUGAAUUAAUCCAACAUAUUGACGCUGAAGCAAUAGUCCAUUACAUUGAUAUAUUACACCCUAUGUUCCUAAACACGUUGAAUGAUUCCCUGGCUAAUCUAGACGUGAAGAUCACUGCCCUGACGGCGAUGAGUAACUUCAUUCAACAGGUGGGGAGUUCAAAAGAUAGGGAGAGGUUUCAGGAUCUGUUGCCUGCGAUGAUGGACAUGCUGAAUAAGGCAUUGGAAGAAAAUUGUGAGGCAUCAGCUCAGUCUGAGUUGGAGAUUUUGAUUGAGUUGGCCAAGAAUGAGCCUAGCUUCUUCAGGAUGCAGCUUGUGGUUGUGGUGGGUUCCAUGUUUGAUAUAGCUGAAUGCGAGAGUUAUGAAAAGAAAACGAGACGUUUGGCGGUUGAAUUCGUGAUGACAUUGGUUGAGGCCAGGGAGAAGACCCCUGGCAUGAUCAAGAAGUAUCCAUUGUUUACUGAAAAAUAUUUUGCAAUUUUAUUGAAUUUGUUAGAGGAUGAGGUUUAUGACCCUCUCUUGCCUGAUCCUUAUGAUAAAUGGGAUAACAAUUAUGAUUUCCUUUUUCUUAAGAUGUGUUUAAGGCGGUUGUCCAAUGCGCUGGGUGGUAAGACUGUUGUUCCUGUUGCCUUUGAGCAGCUCCGUGCUCACUUGGCUGACGACUCGUGGCAGAAGCCAUGCGCAGCACUCUAUGCACUUGCUCAGAUUGUUGAAGGCUGCUCAGAGGUGUGUAUUUAUUGAUACACUACUAAGAAUUGCAUUUAAACUGAUUAGUUAACGAUCUUGGGAUAGCAGAAGGUCACCUUGAUUAUACUUUCUUCUGUUAUUCUCUAGACUAAGUACUUUGCUUGCUCUCAUCUCUUCUUCAUUAUAAUAGGUGAUGAUUAAGAAUAUGAAUCUAGUGGUGACAAUGGUUCUGGAUUGUAUGGGACAUCCUCAUCCUGGAGUUAGAUUCGCCUCCAUGGAAGCAAUUCGCGAGUUUUUGAGUUUCAUGCGUCCCCAUUUUCAAGAACAAUGUCAUCACCAAGUAGUGCCGGCAUUAAUUAAAGCUAUGGAUGAUGAGAGUGUACAAGUGCAGGUCUGUAUGUCCUACGAUGAUAUGAACUCCUUUGGAUGCUAGUAUCAUAUGUCCCAAAUUACAGUUGCGAAAUUUUCUUACUGAACCUUCUCAAUGGGCUUAACUUUAACUUUAUUAGAUUUAAUCCCUGCUCUAACUUUACUAUCUUCAUAUUUUCCUAGGUCAGUGUCAUACGCACGGUCUGGCACUUCCUUCACGUUCGCACGCCUGAAUAUUUGACACUUUACAUCCAUGGAUUACACAAUAAAUUGCUUCAACUGUCGUCACAUACUGUUGCGGUGGUACGUAUUGUAGACUAAGUGCAAGAGAAAUCAGAUCAUUUUCUUGAACAAUGAACAGACAAUAUUACGAAUACAUUAAGGGAAACAACCAUAAUUUCCAAGUUCCCAAUAUAAUUAUCCCGCCCUCCUUUAUAAAUUCAAAGUUUGUUACUCCCUUGAAUGUCCUUGAGGUCUCUACUUGCCUGAUUUAUUUUUGUUUUUGACAUGAAAGGUCCAAAAAUCAGCGUCAACUGUACUCAAUUGUUUGGGUGAGCAUUUUGAGGUAUUACCUAGUAAUUCUGCUUCAACUUUUAUUAAGAGUAUGUUGUAUUAAGCUGGUUUUAUAUUUCUAUUAAUAUUAACAUUACUUCAACAGGAGUUCUAUGGGAACAACUACGAAUCUAAUAAACCACUUUUGAAAGCUUCACUGGUAGAAGCAAAUUUUCCAAGUAAAGAUGUAGAGAUGAUCAUGUCAGUGUACGAACCUGGCAGUUCGGUACUUCCAAAACAGGUCUUCCACCAGUUAUACCAAAUGGAUUCUAUACAUCUCACUGAACUUAGAGCUUAUUGUUUAUUCGUUUUCUAUUUUUCUGUUGUUGACAUAAUGUCACUAUAAGAUUAUGGAAGCAGUUAUGUCAUUACAAGGAUCACAAGAGGAUGAUGAGGAUACAAAUACCAUCUACAAGCUAAUGGUAUGUGUUGUUGAGAAUAUCGUUAACUAAUAAAAUGGUGUUCUCUCUAAUAGCUUAAGCUUUUAGAUGAGAUGGUCACACACUUCAACAUGUUAUCAGAACAGGCAGAGGCCCUGGGAUCAAAUCUCUUCGCCACCCAAAUUAAAAAGAAUUUCCACGUGCUAAUCAGUCAGAAAUUCUUUCAAGAUUGGUCUUUCUAUAUUUCUUGAUCUCAUUCCAGGUUGUCACACUUGGACUUCUCUCUUUUUCUUUCUUUCUACCCGUGAUUUUGAUCGCGAACUGAAAAUUUAACAAGUGGUUUCAAUGGCCUAAUGCUUGAUAAAUGAUACAGACUGCUUCAAUUUUAUUUCCACUUUUGAAAUUCCAUUUCAAAGGGGUCAGGUUCCAUACAGUUUGAAGGUGAGAUUUCUCAGGAUUUCACAUAGUUAAUUUCUACCGUCUUUUAUAACUAUCUGAUCAACUCCAAGACUUUUUAAUUUGUAAUGUUUAUAGCGAUGAAGCACAUUUUGCAAUCUGCUAAACUGGCUGAUGAGAAAGGGAUUGCUCCAGGUGAAAGCCAUUCGGAUUUCAAGCAGUUUUCAGACAGUAUAAUACUGAAUUUGGUGGAAGCUUUGCAUGAGGUUUACUUUUAACAUUAAGCUUCUUCUUUUUGGAUAAUGAGAAAGUAACACUUUGAUUUCUAUAUAAUGCAGGAGCUUGAAACAGAGAUAUAUGUACAUAUGUUGAAUACAUUACGACUGUGCCUUCAGGUUCGUGAUCUUUAAACACUGCUUAUUUGUUUUUGAUCCAAAGUUUUCAGUGUUUCACUAUGAGCUAGGUAUGAAGUUUUUUGGAACUGUUGCCUUUAAGUCUGUUGCUUAAAAUGUUCCAUUAGUAUCAUCAAAGUGAGAAAAUAGCAAUGGUGACAAGUCGAGUUAGAAUGGCAAAACAGGAUUUUUCAGGUUGUAUAUGGUCCUUGUGUUUCUUCUUUCAGAUAUGUGGUCCACUUCUCAAUAAAGACCAGCUUCGUCCGGUCGUGGAUGAGAUAAAGCAUGUCAUUACAGAAAAUUUAAAUAGCCAAGGAAAACUCAGAGAGAGAGAAAAAACAGAAGACUUUGAUGCUGAGGAAGCUGAAUUGCUGAGAGGGGAAAAACAGCGACAAGAUCAAAUAAUUUUCCUUGUAUGUUCUAUUUUAAAACAGGAACUAAAGUGAUACACUGUUGUCUAUAUAUUCAAGCAUUUUCGCUUUGUUUAUGCUGUUAUUCUUGAACAGGCUGGUCACAUAUUACGUAGACUUAUCGAAUCAUUCAAGGUUGUUUUCUUGCCUUACUUUGACGAGCUAUCAUUAUAUCUGAUUCCGAUGUGGGUAAGUUCAUUGACAUUAUUCUGACAUGACGUUAGUUUAUUUACUAUUAUUCAUAUCUAGGAUAUCUUACUGUUUCCGAUUUUGUUAAGGGAAAAGAAAUGACAAUUCAAGAGAAAUCUACAUCACUUUAUAUCUUUGAUAGUCUUGUGAAGGAGUGCUCUGAAGCAGCUCUAAAGUGAGUUUAAUUUGUCUGUAUGAGUUUCUGGUGUAUCACCAUUUUUAUAAAUUACUUACUUCUUAUGCCAACUUAGGUACUGUGAUGUAUUUCUACCUUUGCUUCUGAAAGCAAGCAAUGACGACAACCCGACAGUUAGACAGGUUUGGAUCAUAGUGAUUGUUUACAUUCCUGUUACUCAAGUUGGUUGCUCACAAUGACUUUAUGUUCAGAAAGCUUUAUAUGGACUUGGGCUUUAUGCAGAAUAUGAUGGUUCUGUUUUCCAACCUUAUGUUAGAGGUAUUAAUAUUGUUGAAUGUGAUACCUUCUAAUCAAGCAAGUGUUUUUGUUAACUUACGCGUUUAUGUUCAGAGGCUAUGUCACGGAUCAAUGUAGUGAUAAUGCAUUUACGUGCUCGUGAACCUGAGAAUGAACUUGCAUAUGAUAAUGCUGUUUCUACCCUUGGUAAAAUAUUUCAGUUUCAUCGAGAACUUAUCGACUCAGCCCAGGUUUGUCCUUCUCAGAAUCCCUAAUGUUAAGUCUUGUUAUAAUUUCUGAUUCUGAAUCCUUGUGUAGGUCAUUCCCAUUUGGUUGAAUUGCCUGCCUAUAAAAGGUGACCUUGCUGAAGCCAAAUAUGUUCAUGGUCAACUAUGUUCCAUGGUUGAAAGGUAUUGGAUUUGUUUGGAAACUCUAAUAUGUUAUAACUUUCAUAAAAUGCAGGAUUAUUUUAUCCAACGUUUUGUUGGAAAUAUUAUAUUAUCAUAAGACUAUUUAUUCCACCAUUUAUACCUUAAAAUGUGAUAAGUUAUUUCAUCCCGAAAUAGUUGAUGUCAGGAUAACUUAUUCCGAACCAAACCAUCCCUUAAUGAUUUAUCAAAUUUUCUCAAUUGCAGGUCAGAUAGAGAACUUUUGGGUACCAAUUAUGAACACUUCCCAAAAAUUAUGUCAGUUUUUGCAGAGGUUAGUUCCAUAUCAGAAUCUAUAGAUGCCAGUUUGAGUUGUUUAUUUGCUCAUGUUACAUAUUAAAUGAGAUAAAUAUUGAAAACAUAAUUAUUAAUUUCAUAAUCAAACUAUUAACAAUCUUAAAAACACUCAUUUCUUUGACUAACUAAACUUAAAUACACUCCCGAUCUUGCAACAUGACCAAAAUACAUCCCUAAUUUAAGGGUGCUUUCAACACUCCUCUAUGUAAUGUGGCAGAUCAGAGAUGUAUUUAAGUUUAAUCUGGUCAAGUAGAUAUGUGUUUUUAAGACUAUCAAUAAUUCAAGAACGAAACGAACAAUUUGUGUCAAGUUUAAGAGUGUUUUUGAAUCAAACUAAAGACAUUUUUUAUUCCAUUUUUAAGGUUAUAUGUGGUGGAAAACAUCUUGCUACAGAAGAAACAACAAAGUGUAUGAUUAAUCUGUUGAGGAAUCUUCUUAAAGAACUACCACCAGACACUUUGACAUCAGCAUGGUCAUUGAUAUUGCCUCAGCAAGAAAUGGAACUAAAAGCCAUUUUAUUUCCUGGAAUACUUCAUGUGGUACGUUUUCACAACAAAACAUUUUGUAUGCUUGACACUGAUACCAAUGAAAGCUCUCCCCCUUACUCUUUACCAUCCAAAAUUGUCAAACUUCUUGAGGAAGAACACCAGAAAAAUAGUAUUAUUGUUCCACAAAUGUAACUUAUAAACCAUAAAUUGUAUCUUUAAUUAAGUUUUGUAUCAUUUAAGUAUACAAGAUGAUACUAUAGUUGAUUUGUGGGGAAUUGAAUAUGUAAUUAUCAUUAAACUAUCUAUUUUAUAUCUUUUUUACGAUUUAUCUAUCCAUUUGGAAUUUCUUUAUUUUUAAUUUUUCAUAAGUUGAAAUUCAUAUUGUGGCAUAUAAUUUAAAUAAUUAUUUAUUCAAAUUAAACAAGUCAAACCUUAAGGACCUAAAAUCUAAACCUGACGGCAUAAACCAUAAACCUUGAGGGGUCGUUUGGUGUGAAAGAUAACUUUAAAUAGUCCUGCGAUUAAAUUAUAAUGUCACUAAAUUUGUUGUUUGAUUGGCAAUUUGGUGAUAAGUUAUCUCGUGAUUAAUAAUUAAUACAAGGAUAAAUUAUCCCUUCCCUUGGGUGGUACAAUAAUCCCGAGAAAACUUAUCACGAGAUAAAAUGACUAAAUGACAAAAAUAUCCCUUCAAACACUUUUUAUACAUUACUUUUCAUAUUCAUGAACGGUAUUUUUCUAAGCAUCAUAACUUGAAUUCAAACCAAACGACUGCACCUUAGAGCCCAAAAAAUAAACUCAAAAUCAUAAACUCUAAACCUUAAACCUUAGGCCUCAACCUUAAAAUCUAAACCAUAAACCCAAAACUCAAAAGCUUGGGGCCUAAAACCUAAGAUCUACGAUUUAUGGUUUAGGAUUUAGGAUUUAGACUCUAAAAUUUAUAUUCUAGGGGUUGUAGUUUAUCGUUUUGACUAUAAGAUUUAGGAUUUAAGAUUUAUAAUUUUAAGAGUUUAGGCCUUAUGGUUAAGUGUUUAGAGAUAAGAUUUAUAAUUCAUGUAUAAAUUAAAAUAUAGGGUUUAGGCCCAAGGUUCAUAUGGUUUUAUGAUUUAUCAAAAGCCAAUUUGAGGUCAAUUUUUAAGCACAAUUGAACCAAACCCAUUUGAACCCAAAAUAAAUUUGAACGGAUUGAUCAACUUCGUGUAUUUUUUUCUACACUUUUGACUCUUCAUCACCUUUCUACAAUUACAAUUGUUUCACAAAUCCUUUUUUUAAAAUCUUUCAAACAUAAUUAUAAAAAAUAUCUUAGUAAAUCCAUUCUAUUUCCUAAUCCCUUUCAUAAAACAAAUAAUCAAAAUAGCCUCAGAAGGAAGGCAGUAGUAUAGUCAUAAUCAUUAUUUUGACCAUUAACGCAAAACUACUCAUCAUCGGACAAAAAAAUAAUAAAUUAAAAGAAACAAAAAACAAUUAUUAUUGUAAUGCUUGAAAGUUUUGCAAUUUUCCUAAUUCAAAAUUAUUGACUAUCGAUUUUGAUAAUGUAUUUCCCAAAAUUGUUGUGUGAAAUACACGAGUAAAAUACAUCUGAACUCAAAAUUCAAAAUACAUUUCAAAACUCAAAAUUAAGAGUCAAAUUUGUGCAUAAAAUUUAGGACUUGAAAUCUAAACUCAAAAUUUGAAACCAUAUACCUUAGGGCAUAGAUCCUAAACCUUAAGAGCCUAAACUUUAAACAUUAUGUCCAAAAUUAUGAACCCUAAAUCUUGAACCUUAAAUCCCAAGUCAUAAACCCUAAAAUCUUAGAACUUAAACCCAAAACUCUAAACCUUAAAGCCUAAACCUUAAACCUUAAACCUUAAACCUUGAAAGCCUAAAUCUUAAUGUUUAGGAUUUAUGAUUUAUGGUUUUUGAUUUUAAAAUUUAAGAUUUAGAGUUCAGACAAUAUGGUUAAGAGUUUUAAGUUUUAUGAUAUAAGAUUUAGGCCUUAAAAUUUGAAGUUUAGAUUUUAACAAUUAGGCUCUAAAAACUUUAAGAUUAAAAAUACAGCAUUUGAACAUUAUAAUAAAUAAUUAUGUAGUACCCCAACGACCAAAUACACCACAAAAAUUAGAUGCAAAGGAUAGCGAGGGGAACAUUAUUAUAGCUUCACUUGCUAAAGUAUCACACUACAAAAAGUGAAAUCCACAAAAUAUAAUUAGCAAAAGCAUAGUACAAUUAACAACAUAUCCAAUAAAAUCACAGUAAAUUUAUGCAAAUCUUAUCAUUAUCUCGUAAAAAUAAAAAUAAAAUAUGAAAACUACUUAGUCCCUUAGAUGUUCAAUUAAUUGCGAUCAUCUUCGCAAAUCAUUACAGGUCUGUAACUGUAAAAAAUUAAUCAUCACUGUUGUUUCCAUUGAAUAAAAUAUAUAAAAAAAAUUUUGAUGAACAAACUCAGUCCCUUAGAUGUUCAAUUUGUUGCGAUCAUUUUCGCAUAUCAUUACAGGUCUGUAACUGUAAAAUAUUACUCAUCAUUGUUUAUUCAUCAAAAAAAUAUUCUGAAUUUUUUUUUUUUUAAAAAAAAGUUGUAGCUGCUCCAAUUGUUCUCCACAGAUUAAAUUAAAUGAGGAGAAAGAUGAAAAAGGAACAACACACUUAUAAUGCUUCAAGGGAACGAGUUGGUCAAAAAUAAAUUAUUUCUUGCCAACCAGAUUAAAGAAGCAUAUAACUCAAAAUAUAUACACAAAAAUAAUAAAUUUAUUUAGAGUUUAGAAGAUAUAUCACCAUUGUUGAAGAUUUCAAUCGGCAGCUGCAGAAGAGAGAAAUUGUUGUGUUUUGAAGUACACGCAAAACUCAAAAACAAGAAAAUUAUCCAUCUAGCUGGAUAUGAUUAUUAUGCAUAAUGAAUAAAGGAAACAGCUUAAGAGAAAAACUGGUCCGUUAGAUCUCCUCUUUCAAUCGCAAUCUUCUAUUUCUGCACAGCAAAGAAACACUUCUCAAAUAUAUUUUACGAAAGAUUUAACAGGUAAAAGUGUACAAGCUCAAAAUAUGAUGCAAUUAAUCUUGAGUCAGUUACCUGUUAAACCAGUGUUGCCGCUUUUUAUAUGCAAGGGGUAAAUAAGGACCUUGGGCUCUGCAUUUCCAUAUCCUUCUUGCACUUCUUUAAAGUCCUUAACUGAUUUUUCAAGAGACUCACCACAUCGUUUUACUUCAACCAUCUUUAGAUAAUGCAUAUGUCCAACCAUGGAAGGAAUUUCUCGAAGAUUAAAGCAGUUUUCUAUAAGAAUGUGUUCGAGGUUGGGAAAGGACUCAUCUGAUGCAUUCCAUGUUGUUAUUGUAAGGGAUCUUAAUUUAAGAACCUUGAGGUUCAGAAACUCUUCAUCUUCGAUCUCCCAUUUGUCCUGCUGAAAUACUCUAUGUUCCAACUUCAGAACCACUAAAUUUGGUAAUCUUCCGAUAUUAGACAGUUCACUUUGUGGCAACAAAACAUCUGAUAGAGUUAGCUUUGUUAGUGUCGCGGGCAAGGUGAAAUUCAAAAUCAUACCGUUUACACUGAGUGUUUCAAGUUGAAGAGCAUUUAAUUUGAGUUUGAGAGGCUCUUUACAGUGGCAUUUGAGUUUUCGCAGUCUGCUUUCUGUUUUAUUUAAGAAAUACUCCCUCCGUCCCAUUUUAUAUGAUGUACUUUGAUACCGUUUACACUGAGUGUUUCAAGUUGAAGAGCAUUUAAUUUGAGUUUGAGAGGCUCUUUACAGUGGCAUUUGAGUUUUCGCAGUCUGCUUUUCUGUUUUAUUUAAGAAAUACUCCCUCCGUCCCAUUUUAUAUGAUGUACUUUGAUUUGGCACAAACUUUAAGAAAAAUGGAAAGACUUUUAAAACUUGUGGUCCAAAAUGAAUGAUAGAAAUUUGUGUGGUUGUAAAUCAUUUCAUUAAGGGUAAAAAAGACAUUUUAUAGGCAAAUUGUUACUUAAAAUAGAAAUGUGUCAUUCUUUUUGGGACUGACUAAAAAGGAAAGUAAGUCAUAUAAAUUGGGACAGAGGGAGUAUUAUUUAAGACUGGUUUAAGAGUCGCCACUUAAUUUUUAAGAAAAAUCAAGAAAAACUGAUUUUCAAUAGAUUAAAACAGUGAAUCAAUUGAAAAUACUAAAGGGGGUUCGGGGGUUCUUAUAAAUAUUCUAGGAAGGUUUUUAAGGCACCUAGAAUAUCCACUAAUGUGGUUAUCCGACGAUUAACUACUUGGCUAAAAUAAUUGAACUUAAUUUGAUUUGAGCAAUUUUUAUUGUUAGAACCAUAUUAAAGGGAAAUACUUAAAUAUUAUCUAAGUGAGCUAAUUUUUAAAACUUAUUCUUUAAGUCUUGUUGAGUGAUGACUGAUUCAGUUAAAUUGUUAAAUCAAAAUAGGCGUCUUUCGGGGAUUUGAAUUUUUCAACCUUAAGGUUAGCGACAAAUAUUAACAAGCACACAAAUAUAAUAAAAUAAAGAGGGAAAGAGAUUUGGGCCCAAGUUUGGUUUUACUGUCCGCCUGGACCAAUACUUGGGCCCACUUUCGUUUUGGGGUUUUCGGCCCAUUUAAAUAAUCGGUACCUGUCCUAGUCUAACAAGAUAAUAACAAGGGCUUAGGCCCCCAAAAUAACAAAAAUACAAUUCCCGAAACUAAGAGUGGGCCUUUGGGUCCAUUUUCCUUCUUUCGUAUACACUAGAUGUCUACUAGUGUACACAAUCCCAUAUGUCUGCUUCGAAGACCUGUACGCUGAAUUCAUGGAAUUGCUCUUCAAUUCUAUUGGCUGGCCGACUCAAUGAAGGAUUUGAGCAUUUAUGGCUCUCUCGAAGUGAGGGGGAAGGAGAUAGGAGUUCAUAGUGAACUCGGACAUAUUUCACAAGCAAAACGAUAAAUAAGUAACAAAAUUAGCAUCUUCGGGAAGGAAAUGAAGUGAUAAGAUAAAAUAAAUAGAUAAGUAAAAUAACAUGCCAGUCAAUCAUUAACAACACAACGCCUAAACAAUAAUUUAAAAGGAAGACUGAUGAAGACUUGUUCAUUUUUACGUAUCAUGAAUGAGGAGCAGUGAUCAAGUACCAAGCAUUAGAACAAAGGUCAUAUGAGAUGUAAACUAAUAAGCUCUUAAUAAAGAUUAUUACUUAUUACAAGAUUAAAAUAACUACUAUGCAGGUUCAAAACAGAGAAGAAAGAAAUUUUAAUUAUAUAUAUAAUAUAAAAGAGAUAGUGAGCAAAUGUGGCAUCUACUAAAUGUGACUAUUGAAUGUUUAUCUCAAAGCACAAGAAUUGUUAGCUAAGCAAGCCUACAAUCAGUAGUUUAAGUAAAAGGAAAGAAACAUUCAAGUCACCUUUUGAACUUUUAAAAACAAUAUUAUAAACAAGUUAAGGUAGGUAGGAUUUAGUCAAAAUAUUAUUUUUUACAUAAGUGAGCUUUCUAAACAAAUAUAACAAUAAAAAAAAAAUUAGUCAAUGACUCAAAUUUUGCACAAGGGUAUAGCCUAAUACCGACAUUAUUUGGACAACUUUCUUAUUACUGAUUCUAACAUUUACGACACCGAAUUAAGCUAUGUAGAGAAGAAAAAAGGCCGGUGAUCACCAAAGCAAGUAAAAAUAUAUAGCAUCCUUAGCAACUGUUGAGACAUGCUGAAAUUAAAGAAGAAUAAAAGCCAAAAGUAUGGAUGUACAUUCACAGUUUUAUGUAUUCCCAAACUUAUCGAAAUUUGUUAAAAAUAUACAUGAGGCUCACGGAGAUAUCAAAUAGCAAAGUGGGCUGAUCCAUUUAUCCUAAAUGAGUAAACAUACAAAAUGAAUGAACAAAUACGGACUAUGACAUAUUUUACGCAUCCCGUAACCAAGAAAAAGUAGCACGAACUUACUUAAGGCAUGUCAAACUAAUCAAGAUCAAAAUUGUAUACCAUUUGGAACCAAACAACAAAAACAAUUCCCAUAAUUCUGGAAAAAUAAAAAAAAACACAUUCAAACUAGACCUGGACAACAUCUAAAUAAUUAGAGACAAAAUCAGAUAAACAAAAAUGAAAGAAUUAAUCAUACCACAAGACAACCAUAACAAAGUUUAAGCUAUACUAAUCCGGACAAGACUAUUGAUCUAAACUCAAAAAUAAGUGCAGGAAGAGCUAGAUCCUACAAGACUGGUCUAAUGUAAUUUAUGAGGGUCUAUAACAGUGAAUAAAAAAUAAAGAGAAGACAACCAAGACCACAAAUGACCAAUAGAGAAGCAGAACGAGUCAAAAAUUAAGCUACAAAGGGAAUAAUUUAAAGACUCAUAUUUAAACUAACACAUGCUUCCAUACAUGAGUAAUUUAAUCAAAAUAAGUUAGAACAAAAUGAAACCAAAGAAACUCCGCAGCAACAAGUUUAUCACACAACAUUUAAAACAUAAACAAAGCGCGGAAGAGGGAAGAGAUAUUACCUUUUCCGGGCAGCGAAACUGAGACAAGAACGAGCUUGGAGCGACUUCAACACAACCUUGAACUCGAGCACCAGACCAAAGAAAAGAUCGAGUCGACCUCGAACGAGAACUUCUCGUAUCCUUAAGACUAGGGAACCGUCUAAGACUUCUCAAGUGUAAAUUUAUUCCAAGAAAUCCAACCCCCAAAUCCCUUCCUUUUUUUUUUUUUUUAACAUAUGAAAAAAGAGCCACCUUUAUAGGUAAAAACUCCAGCAGAAAAUGGGGGGAAACGGAUGAAAAAAACGGGCAGAGAUCCCCCAUCCCCAAUUCAAACUUCAAAAUUUAUUCACAAACUUAGAGAGACAACAUUUUUUCAAAAUUUCGCCCCAUUCCCAAAGAGGAAAAAGGGAGAAACGCGUGCUGCUGCGACAUUAAUGUGGAUAGGGACGUCUGAAGAAGAAGCCAAAUCUGUAGUGUACGUCUCUCUGCUCCUCGCUACUUUUCGUCUGAUCGCUCUGUAUUUUUUGUUAUGAACGUUGGGGCUGCUGGGUUUGUAUUGUGAAGGAAAAGGGGAGGUGGGCCGGGUUAAAGGGGGGAAUUGUGGGUUGAGGCGGUAGGGUGAGAAAUAAAAGAAAGGAAAAGGGAAUUGGGGAAAUUACGGUCGGUCAGGUAUUGUUGUUGUUGUCAAGUUGUAUUGUAUGUAGUGUUACAUGUGGGUGGGUUUUGGUAUUAAAUUUGGGCUGGGAAUUAUGGAAUUGCUGAUGGGUUUAAAGAAGGGAUGGAUUGUUGGUAUUAUAUUCUGGGAAUGGGUAUUUGGAAUCAGAUAAAUACAAUGGGUUAUGGGAGUUGGCAAAAUGGCCUGAUUUGGUCUAAAAGAAAAGAGUUCUAUCGGAUUUAACAAUUAGCCAACUUUGAUAAACUAGUGAAUUCGACUAAAAAUUAAAUAAGACGAAUUAAUAUAAUUAACUAACGAGCUUCUUAAUCUUAACGAAAUAAAAUAAUCAACUUAAUUAUUAGUCAAUUUGAAUAACUCAAAAUUAUGACUAUAAAUACUACCAAACUAUAUUAAUAAAAUAUUCAUUUUAACAAAGUAGAAAUCUUUUGAAUAUGAUUUUUAAAUAUUAUAAAAUGUACUAAUCAUAUAUGUAAUUAUAUGAAAUAUAUUUAUCAUUCAAAAUGCUAUAAAAGUCGAUUGAAAUUAUUCAACUAACCUUGAAAUUAUUUAAAUUUUGUAAAGCUAAUUAUUCUAAAUCAUUUAGAAUUUAAGAAGCUCGAUGAUUAAUUUAUAUUGUGGAGGUCCAAAAAUUGGGUGUCAACACUUGCCUUCUUGACCAUGUAGUCUACUAGCUCAUUAGUGAGAGACACUGUGGCCAAGGUCUCGAUGCAACAUAUGUUUGUCGAUGUCUGAGGAAUGCGUCCAUCAAAAGAUGCAACAGGUUCAACAUGUACAUGCUUUAGCCUUGGCAUAUUCCAGAUGGUCAUCGGUAAAAUUGUGCCACUGCCUACUGUUAUUACAAGCAAUACCUCUAGGUUUGAAAGGUUCGAUAUCCAUAAUGGCAUAGAUACCAUAUAGCCUUUGAUUCCUAAGUACUUCAAAUGGAUCAGCUCUUUUGAUCUCUGGAAUGAACUCUCCGACAUAGUACAUUCCAUUUGUAGUACUCUUAAUAGUUUAAAGUUCUCAAGAUCAAGAAAUUCCUGGCAGCCAGAUUUCGGGGGUCUGAAGAAUGCAGAUCGAACUUGCAUGUUUCCAAUCUUCCCUGCCCAAUAAAGGCUAUGAUGAAUGCAAAGCCUCCGGUGCUCAUAAAAGGAACUAGACAAAUCAGUCUUCCCGGUGCUUGUUAGUUGCAUAAACUUCUCUUCCUUAGACUUUGUCACGCAAAAAUCAUGUAACAUAUCAUGAAUGCGGCAUGUUCUGACUCCUCCAGUGGACUUUCUCUUGCUCACCAUUAUCAAGCUUCUACCGAUGAGAUCAUUCAGUAAAAUUUUUGCAUCGAGCCCUAUGUUUGGCACCAAUCCCUCGAUAGUCCAUAACCAUGCCAAGUUUGAGAGUGGAAUUUCUUCAUCCUCCUGAAAUGAUGCAAAAUAUAGAAAGCAGGGUUUGAGAUGAUCUGGCAUGUGCUUGUAGCUCAGUUCUAUAACCUCCAUGCACUCUUUUGCACUAGUAACAGUAUCUAACUUUAUACUUUCUGCGAUUCUUCUCCAACUUUCCUCAUUUUCGCUUAUCCCAGACAAAACUCCAGCAACCAAAAUCACAAGGAGAGGUAGUCCUUUACACUUACUUGCGAUGUUUGCUCCUACUUUUGAUAGGUCAG